This 53395-nucleotide long non-coding RNA is filed under the name Vitis vinifera (wine grape). RNAcentral describes it as "long non-coding RNA (VVIN_LNC003761)". The record is from RNAcentral. Lineage: Eukaryota; Viridiplantae; Streptophyta; Magnoliopsida; Vitales; Vitaceae.
UGGCAGCAAGCGUGGGAGCAGUGGAGGCACUCAAGGAUCAGGGCUUCUGCAGAUGGAAUUACACUAUGAGGUCUAUUCACCAGCAUGCCAGGAACAGCCUCAGGUCUUUUUCUCAGGUCAAGAAGCUCUCUUCCUCUUCCGCCAUGGUUUCUAGCAGAGUGAGAGACGAGAAAGCAAAGCAAUCAGAGGAGUCUCUGAGGACUGUCAUGUACCUGAGCUGCUGGGGACCCAACUGAGGAAGCAGAUCUGGAUAUGAAGAUGAUGAUCAUCCUACCACUGAAUCUUCCAUGGAGGGCAUAUCCCAAGAAAGUGAUAAGAACAAUCUUAGGCCCCUCUCUCAAGCUAGGAGCCUCUCUUCUUCUUCUUCCUAUAAGAUGGGUGUGAAGAGUAGUGGGGAAGAUGAGAAAAGGAAGAAGAAGACACAGAAAACAUUGGGGAAAGUCAUGCACUAGAGCUCCUGGGUCCCCAGUGGAGCAAUGGAUACAGAUUUUGCGGUGCAAUAUAAGAGUAAAAAUUUUGUAGACAACUGCAGAAAGAUGUGAUGAUCUUCAUGCGUACUUCAAAAAAAUGAAAUCAGAUAUCAGAUUUAUUAUCAUAAUAUUGUGUUGCCUUUUAUCAUUUUUUGCCAUGGGAUCACUAUCUUUGUUGGUUUUGAUUGAAUUUGAGCUUUAGCAGAUGGAGCAAUCAAGAGUUUGAAGCAAAAAGCACUUAAGAUCCACCUUCAGUGCAAUAUAUUUUGUUUUGAAUUGAUUGUGCAGGCAUUGUUCACCCCACAAUCCCUUCCUCCUCUCAGUCAAACUCAUAACUAUGGCUUGGCUCUAAUUUCAAUUCUCAAACAUCUUAACUGAAAAUCAUACUGAUGACUAAUAACAAUAAGUUCAACCUUUUAUGGCCUUUUUUUUUUUUCGGAGUGAUUGUUUGCGUGAUUCAUUUCAGACUUAAAAGAAUGAUGUUAUUGUGCCUAUACACAAAUUUUAUACUCAUGGUUUUAAUAGAAUCCCGUUCACUAUGUGAAAUUAAUAGUUUAAUAUAAUAUUAGAGUUUUAAUAUAUAGUAUUAUUUUAUAUUUUGAAAUUAGUAUUUUAAUAUAAUAUUAAAAUUUGUUCAGAUUUUCUGUUCGUUUUCUUGUUUAUUAAUCUUAUGGUUGGGUUUGAAAAAUGGAAAAUUUGAGAAAAAAAAAUGUGAGAAAAAAUUGAAAAAUAUACUUAAAAUUAAUAAAUUAUUUUUAGAUGCUUCAUUAAAUUUAUUAUAUUUUUAUAAAUUAUAAUUACAUUGAAUAAUUUAAAAAUAUAAAUUUUUUAAAUUAAUUUUAAUGACUUUUUUUUCCUUCUUUAAAAUUUUCAUGAUAAACUAGAAAUUGUAAAAUCAUUUGUGUUUUUUUCACCCUAUGUUGGACUUUUCCGGCCAAAUAUAGCUUAACUUUAGGGUUGUAAUUUGGACAAGUUGAUCGGCCUGAUCAUUGAUGGUCAAUCCAGACUCAAUCCAACCUUAUUUUUAAAAAAUAAAGUUAGUUAGUGGAGUUAAACUCAAAUUGAUUAGAUUAAACUUUAUAUUAAAACUUGGAUUGAUUAGGUUAAAUUUUAUGUUAAAAUUUGGAUUGAUUGGUUUAAAUUUCACCUUAAAAUUUGGAUUGAUUGGGUUAAACUUGAGUUGAUCCAAUUGAUUGAUUGUGUUGUAUAAUUCAAAAUUCAUUAAUAAUAGUUUUUUUUUUAAUUUUAUACAUUUAUACCAAAAUUUAGUUAGUAAUAAGACAAAAUUUCAAACAAUAAUAAUAAUAAUAAUAAUAAUAAUAAUAAUAAUAAACUCAUUUUUUUUUUCAAAAAAUGAAAAAAAUAUACUAAAUGAUCACAAUUUAAUAUUUUUCUUUAAAAUUUUAAAAAUAAAUAAAUAUUAUUAUAUUAGAUAAUAAAUAUUAUAAAAACAUUAAAUUUGGUUUGACUCGGAUUAUAGCCUAAAUCUAAUUCAAAUUGAAUUUUGGUUGUGAAAAAACUUAACCCAACCAAAUAUUGGAUUAAGUUGGGUCAACCCGUCAAAGUUAUACCCGUGACUUGUUUGGGCAUCUCACAGAAUUUAGUCAAACAGCUGAAAAUUAAUGGACUCCAGUGGGCAGAGUAAGUAAAGCAAAUUGUUUUGGAUUGCCGCAUUGUCACUUCUGAAACCAGCGGUUUCAGUCCUUUCACCCUUUUAGCAGGAAAACAGGGGGCACACCUCCUGGCAACUGCGACCAUAAUAACACUUAGUCGGGAAUAAAAAUGUAGCUGAAAAACCAAUCAUGCCCAAAUGUAACCUACUUUAGCAUUACAAAUCUAAGGACAAAGUAGUCAUUCCAAUUCAAACCAAACAAACCCAUGAAUACUGCUGGCCACAGCCUCUGGUUUUUGCCAAACGUUGGGCACCAAAUCCAAACCCAUCUAUUGCUAUAUAACCAACCCAUCUUCACUUCAUCUUCUUCAUCACAACACAAACACUUUGAUUUACAGAGAGAUCUUCUAUAUCCUAUUCACUACUCAGAAUCAGUUCUUUUUAUUGUUGAUUGUUGUUUGAGUUUUGGAGAGAGAAUUAAGAUGAGUCAUAUGGGGAAAGCUUGGAUAGUGGCAGCAAGUGUGGGAGCAGUGGAGGCACUCAAGGACCAGGGCUUCUGCAGAUGGAAUUACACUCUGAGGUCUAUUCACCAGCAUGCCAAGAACAACCUCAGGUCCUUUUCUCAGGCCAAGAAGCUCUCUUCUUCCUCUUCCGCCAUGGUUUCUAGCAGAGUGAGAGACGAGAAGGCCAAGCAAUCAGAGGAGUCUCUGAGGACCGUCAUGUACUUGAGCUGCUGGGGACCCAACUGAGGAAGAAGAUAUGAAGAUGGAUGAUCACCAGCAUACUAGUGAAGCAUCGAUGGAGGGCAUAUUCCAAGAAAGUGAUACGAACAACUUAGUUCCCUCUUUCAAGCUAAGAGCCUCUCUUCUUCUUCUCCUCCUUAUUCUUAUAAGAUGGAGGUGAAUAGUGGCGGAGAAGGUGAGAAAAGGAAGAAGACACAGAAAGUAAUGGGGAAAGUCGUGGGCUUGAGCUCCUGCGGUCCCAGUGAAGCAAUGGAUAGAGAUUUUGAGGUGUAACAUAAGAGUAAACAUUUUGUAGAGAUCUGCAGAUAGAUAAGAUGAUUUUAAUGUGUACUUAAAAAAAUGAAAUAAGAUUUCAGAUUUAUCAUCAUAAUAUUUGUGCCAUGGGACUAUCUUGGUUAGUUUUUUAGAGGGUUAAAAACUAAUUCUACUUUGGAAGAAAGGAAUCACCUUCAAAUUAAGCCAUCUUUCGAGCAGUUUGGAAAAACCCUUAUCUAAUAAAGACCUCUAUAAAGUACAAAAAGGUUGUGCUUUUACCAUAAAAAAGGUUGUUUCAAGCCCGAGAACAUCAGAAAUCAUCAUGCCAAGGUUGAUAGAGUUGCUAACAUACAGAUAAGAAAUUUUACCCAAAAAAAUAAAAUAAAAAAAUUAAAGCUUUGUCUUGAAAAGUCUCUCAAAUUCAGAUUCAUUUUUGGAAGAAGAAUAAGAGAUAUCUAAGUGAAGUGAGGGGUUCGUGGACAGGAAAUUUAAGAUAUUUUAAUAAUCCAAUAGUUUUAUUUGAUUUUUAUCAUAGUAUAAUAAAAUAAUUCUCUUUUAUUUGUGGAUGUAAGUUAAUCAAAACAUGUUAAGAUCUCGUGUAUUUUUGUGUGAAUUAUUUUAUUUUUACAUUCUAAAAUUAAUAUUUUUGUAUUAAAGCUUACAUUGAUACCAAAGCUAUGUUGAAGAUUUGUAAAAGAACAAAAAAAAAAAAAAAAAUAGUACACAAAAAAAAUGAUAAAAUGAAUUUUAAUUGAAAGUGAAGUUGAUUGUUUCCAAAACAUGAUACAAAAAAUAUGUUAUGAAAAGAUGAAAAAUUAACUUAAUGGAAUUUGAUGUCGAGAUUGUUCAAGAGUGCCUUAAAUUCUUAUUAAUAUUGAUUGAUUUUUAUAAGGAAUAUUGUAUAUAAUAUAUUUUAAGUUAAUAUAUUAUUAUAAUAUUAGAUUUCUUUAUUCAGUAAAGAAAGUUAUUAAAAAUAUUUUUAUAAAUAUUUUAAAUCUUAUAAGAUGAAGAUUAACUUGUAAAAAUUAUAUGAGAUGGAUAAAGAUGUAUAAAAAAAAUGAAAGAUAUCUUGAAUGAUGUAGUGAAAUGAUUCUCUCAUUCGCAUAUAUAGGCAUGAUUCAUCGAAUCAUAUUAAAACCUCAUGUAUUUUCCGGUGGAUUGUUUUAUUUUUAUGUUUUUAAACCAAUAUGUUUGUGUUAAGAUUUUCCCUUACCCAACACCUUCAACCCUCUCUUUUAUUUAUUUUUUUCAUUAUAUUUAUAAAGAGGUUUAUCCAAAGAUCUCAAUCCCUUGUCCUCAUCUUACCGUCUUUGAUCUAUCCGAGGAAUUUUAGUUUCUUUGGUAAUGAUUAAUUUUGAAUCUUACAAAACAAAACAAUCAAAAGUUUGAAACAAAGCAAGAUGCAUCAUUUAGACAAUUGGUUCAAAGGCUUCAUGAUAGACGUUACAUCCCAACAGUCAUUUAUGCUCUUAUAAGUCAAAUUCAUAAUCCAAUGUAUUAUUAGUUCAUUAUGUGAAAUUAAUAACUCAGCUAACAUUAGAGGUUUCAUAAAACACUAGAAUUUGUUCACAUUUUUGUUAGGUGAGCUCACAGAAUUCAAGUCCAAUUGGCAACUACUCCAAAAGUGAAUGUUAUUGAACUCCAAUAAGCAACUUGUUUUAGACUGCCGCAUUGUGGCUUUGGAAACCAGCGGUUUCACUCCUUUCACUCCUUUAGCAGGAAAACAGGGGACACAUCUUUGGCAGCUGCCACCAUGAUAAUUCUUAGUAGGGACCACACAAGUGGGUGAAAACCCAAUCAUACCCACAUCUAACUCCCCUUAGCAUUACAAAUCCAAGGACAAAGUAGUCAUUCCAAUUCAAACCAAACAAACCCAUGAAUACUGCUGGCCACAGCCUCUGGUUUUUUCCUAAAGUUUGGGCACCAAAUCCAAACCCAUCUCUUUUCUAUAAAACCAACCCACCUUCACUUCUUCUUCUUCAUCACAACACAAACACUUUGAUCUACAGAGAGAUCUUCAAAAUCCCAUUCACUACUCAAAUCGGUUCUUUUUAUUGUUGAUUGUUGUUUGAGUUUGGAGAAAGAAAAUUAAGAAGAUGAGUCAUAUGAGGAAAGCUUGGAUAGUGGCAGCAAGUGUGGGAGCAGUGGAGGCACUCAAGGACCAGGGCUUCUGCAGAUGGAAUUACACUAUGAGGUCUAUUCACCAGCAUGCCAAGAACAACCUCAGGUCCUUUUCUCAGGCCAAGAAGCUCUCUUCUUCCUCUUCUGCCAUGGUUUCUAGCAGAGUGAGAGAUGAGAAGGCAAAGCAGUCAGAGGAGUCUCUGAGGACUGUCAUGUACUUGAGCUGCUGGGGACCCAACUGAGGAAGAAGAUAUGAAGAUGGAUGAUCACCAGCCUACAGCGAAGCAUCCAUGGAGGGCAUAUUCCAAGAAAGUGAUAACUCAUAAGUGGAGUGGAGAUCAGUUUCAUGGAAUUUUUCCUAGAAGACAAACAAGGUGGAAAUCCAGAAAUUAAUUAGAACCAACUGCUAAUAGUUGGCGUCUCUGAGUUAGGAAUUUGUUAGCAAAAGGCAGCUUUGGUAUAUAUACUAAUAUACGAGAUGAUUUCAAUGUAUAUUUGAAAUAGAAAUUAGAUUUAUUAUCAAAACGAUUGCGUUGUCUCGUCUUUUAUAUUUUCCAGAUCCAAACAGAUCCUAAAGGCCCUAAAAUUUUUGUUGUAUCAUUUUUAUGCUAAAAAAUUACACAUAGAAAAAUUAACUAAAUCAUAAGUAGCUUCUAACCAUGAAUUGUUUUUUUUUUUUUAAGCCUAUAAAUUUUAUGCUUUAGAUACAUGCAUUAAAAAUCUAUCUAAACCAUAUAUAAUUAUUUUAAUGCAGUUAUAUAACUGAUAAAAAUAGAAAUAAAUUUAAUAAAUAUAAAAUAAUAAAAUAUUAGGAUAAGUAUUGAAGAUCAAUUUUCAGUCUUCAAACUUAAUCGAACUUGAAAGUGGAUGGCGAUGGAUACAAUGAUUUGAGCCAGGUCUUAAAUCUUUAACUUAAUGGAGCAAUUAUUGUAAUCUACUUAAUAAUUGGUCAGUAUAAAAUUAAAUAAUAAUAAAAGGAGAAAGAAAAGGACACGUGUUUGACGUGGACGUUGCCAAAACAGCGGUUUCAGACAGGCCUUUUACUGCCCGAGCGCCAGUGGAUUAACAAAGAAAACAAUGAGCACAUCAGUGGAAGCGGCACCAGCUACCAAGUAUGCAGCUGAAAUGCCCCUUGGAAUUACAAAUCGAAGGACAAAAGAGUCAUUCCAGACCAACCCAGAAAUACAGCUGACCCCUGCCUCUGGUUUUUCCCCAAACCUUGUGCCUUUCUCUAUCUAUAUAAUCCAGCCCACCUUCUCUCCAUCUUCUUCAUCGCAACACAAACGCUUUGAUUUACUGAGAGAUCUUCCAUAUCAAUUCACUACUGAGAUUGUUGUUUGGGCUUUGAGUUCUUGGGAAAGAAAGUUAAGAAGAUGAGUCAUAUGAGGAAAGCUUGGGUGGUGGCAGCAAGCGUGGGAGCAGUGGAGGCACUCAAGGAUCAGGGCUUCUGCAGAUGGAACUACACUCUGAGGUCUAUUCACCAGCAUGCCAAGAACAACCUCAGGUCCUUUUCUCAGGCCAGGAAGCUCUCUUCUUCCUCUUCUGCAAUGGUUUCUAGCAGAAUGAGAGACGAGAAGGCAAAGCAGUCAGAGGAGUCUCUGAGGACUGUCAUGUACCUGAGCUGCUGGGGACCCAACUGAGACGUUCCACAUUUCGAGUGAUCAAGAAGAAGAUGAUGAUGACGAAAGAUUCAUGGAGGGAGCAUGUGAAGGAAGUCAUGAGAAGGGGAGAUGAAAACCAUUAAUGGAGAAGAGAGAUCCAUCUGUGGAUGAAGGCAGUGGAAAUUUGGAGCCGAGUGAGUCAUGGGUAAUGGUUCUUAUGAGUUGGGAAAUUAUCAGCAAAGUGCUUUCUCAACCUCAGAUGCUUUGGGAGGAAUGGGAAUUUACCAGAAAAUUGCAAGUACAUAUGUAUGAUGCUUUUUAUGCAUAAUUUGUCCGAAAGCAAUAAUAAUCAGAUUAAUUUUCAGCUAUACUUCUUCUGAGAUAUGGAAUUUGUUGGUUCUGAUUUAAUUUCAAUGAAAUUGAUUAUUUUGUAAUUCUAAAGAAAAUUGGAUUAUUCUGUAAAUUCUAUUAUUUUAUUGUUGUAUAAAGGUAAAUUCUUCUAUCAUUUGUUUUGAUAUAUUCAAAAUUAGACACAGAAAUUAAAAAAAAAAAAAAAAAAUCCACUAUUCCAAGCCAACCCGCAGCCCAAGCUGACGGGUGCAUCCAACCAGGUAGCCAUGUUCAGGGAAAACAGCGGUUUCACCCACAUUUUUACUCCUUGCGCAAUGGAAAAAAAAAAAGAAAAGCGAUUAAAGCCCAAAAUGCCCAUGUAUCUCUUCAUUUGCCAUUAGAAGUAUAUGCACAAAACAGUCAUUCCAUCCACCCCUCACCAACCCAAAAAUCCUGGUAACCACAGCCUCUGGUUUUCCCCCACACCUAUGUCUUUUAAACAAUGGGCACACUACUGCCGACUGCCCCUACGCUUACUGCUUACAUUAGUUGAGGAUGAGUGAUGGGGCCAAGGCCAACUAUGUAGGUGAAUUCCCAAUUAUACCCACCUGAAUCCGCCCUCAAUCUGACCAAUCCGAGGACAAACGUAAUAAUCAUUCCAAUUCAGAUCAAGCAAACCCAUGAAAACUGCUGGCCACAGCCUCUGGUUUUUUCCCAAACUUUGGGCACCCGAUCCAAACCUAUCUCUUUCUAUAAAACCAACCCACCUUCACCUCAUCUUCUUCAUCACAACACAAAACACUGGAUUUACAGAGAGAUCUUCAAUAUCCAUUCACUACCCAGAAUCAGGUCUUUUUAUUGUUGAUUGUUGAUUGAGUUUUGGAGAAAGAAAAUUAAGGAGAUGAGUCAUAUGGGGAAAGCCUGGAUAGUGGCAACAAGCAUGGGAGCAGUUGAGGCAUUGAAGGAUCAGGGCUUCUGCAGAUGGAAUUACACUAUGAGGUCACUUCACCAGCAUGCCAAGAACAACCUCAGGUCCUUUUCUCAAGCCAAGAAGCUCUCUUCUUCCUCUUCUGCCAUGGCUUCUAGCAGAGUGAGAGAAGACAAGGCAAAGAAAUCAGAGGAGUCCUUGAGGGCUGUCAUGUACUUGAGCUGUUGGGGACCCAACUGAGACCCACCAAAAAUUAGUAGAGAGUUGUAAACAUGUAUGAUGAUUUUUUUAUGUAUUUUUUUGAAAAAAAAUCAGAUUAGGUAUCAGAAAUUCAGAAUGAUUGUUUUUUGCACUUUGUUUUUACAUGCCAUGGGAUUUGGAGUUGGUUAGUUUUGACUGAGCAUGAAAGGCAGGCCAGGGUUUUAAAGAAUUGAAUCAUUCACUGGAGAUGGAAUCUCUCUCAGAGAAAUCCUUAUUCUCUACAACCUUGGCAAAUGGCAAGCCACUAAGAGGGAAAACACAAAAAAUAAAAAUAAAAUAAAAUAAUAAUAAUUGUAGAGGAGAUAUUUGCCAAUAUAUAAAACUUAUAUUUUUGUAUUAUUAUUGAAUAAAUUAGAUUUUAUCAUACACUUAAAUAAUGGAGAUACAAAUUCAAUAUAAUACUUUUUUUUUGGUUAAUUUUAAAAGGUUUCUAAGGAAAUUAAGUCUUAAUCAAACAACUUUUAUUGAUCUUUUACAAUAUGAAUUUAUCUCUUUAAAAUAAUUUUAAUUUAGCAUUUAAAAUUUUCCGUUGAACUUUUUCACCAAAUGAGAAGUAAAAACGUAACAGAGGAAUGCAGGACUUUAAAGUGAAGUUGUCUUUUUUUGAACAAGCUAACUUUAAGUCUCGUUUUUUAAGAGAACUUUUCAUAGAAUUUGAAUUAUUUAUUUAACGAUAAAUUUUCAUGAUUUUUUUUUUAAAUUUACACCAUUUUGAAAGGGAAACUUGUAUUUUGAUGGAGCAAUUUGGAAAAUAUAUGAUUUUUGGAAUCCAACUUCACGAAAUCUGAAAACUAACUUUUAAUGUGAAAAAUUAUAUAUUUUUCAUGCACUCUAAGUCGGUUGCAUAUUUUUGUGCUAAGAUUAUUUUUAGGUUUAGUGAUUUUCCAAAAUUAUCCUUUUUGUUUUUUUUUUUUUUCUCUUGUACCCAUCAUCUGCCUCUCCCUCCCUCCCCAGUGAAAUUGGUUGGUAUUUUGCCGACGUCAUCACCAACCGCCACCCACACUUCUCUCCCGUUGGCAAUCUCCUCCUUUCUCCAUUUCCUUCCCUCUUUCUCUCUCUCUUUCAUUCCCUUUCGACAUCACCAAGAGAGAAGAAGGCGGUGGCAAUGGUGGAGAACCGGGGUUGGAGGGAAGAAGGUGCGACUGGUUGCCAUUGACGGUGGCAACCAGUAACUCUCGCAGUCAUUGACAACGGUGGUGGUGGAAGCACCUAAGUGGGGAGAGACGUCAAGGAGAGGUGGGAGGGAGGCGGACGAGGGGACCACGUCUUUCCCUACGCUGGUGCUUUCGCCGUCGCCACUGUCAAUAAUCGUGAGAGUUGUUGGUUGCUGUUUGUCGCGCCUUCUUCCCUCUAGCCCUGGUUCUCCACCAUUGCCACUGCCCUCUUCUCUCUUGAUGAUGUCGAAAGGAAAUGAAAGAGAUAAAGAAAGAGGGAAGGGAAUCGGAGAGGGGGAAAUUAAUGAUCGGAGAAAUGUGUGAGUGACGGCCGAUUUCACAAGGGAGGGAGGAAGAGGCGGAUGGUGGUGGGUAUAGGAGGAAAAUAAACAAAAAGGAUCACUUUGGAAAAUCACUAAAUCCAAAGGUAAUCUCGACACAAAAUAUGUAGCCGGUUCAGAGUGCAUGAAAAAUAUAUAAUUUUCCAUAUUGAAAAUUGAAUUUUAGAUUUCAUAAAGUUGGAUUCUAAAAACCAUAUAUUUCUUAAAUUUCCUCAUCAAAACAUAAGUCUGCAUUUUGAAAAGGAAAAACCCAAUGAAAUAUGUUCGUACUUCGUAUAGACCGUGGAGUGGGGUGUGAAAAAAACAAAGAAAUAGACACGUGCUUGAAAUCCGGCCGUGCACAUUACCCCAUUGGAAAACAGCGGUUUCAUCCUCCUUACUCUUUGAGCGUUGAGUGGAUUCACAAACAAAACAAUGGGCACGUACUGCGGACUGCCCCACACCAACACUGAGGGCCAACUAUGUAGGUGAAUACCCAAUUAUACCUACAUGAAUCAGCCGUCAAUCUUACAAAUCCAAGGGCAAAGUAGUCAUUCCAAUUCAAACCAAACCAAGCCAUGAUUCAUGAAAACUGCUGGCCACAGCUCCCGGUUUUUCCCUAACUUUGGGCACCAAAUCCAACCCAUCUCUUGCUAUAUAACCAACCCACCUUCACUUCAUCUUCUUCAUCACAACACAACUACCUUGAUUUACAGAGAGAUCUUCUAUAUCCAUUCACUACUCAGAAUCACCUCUUUCUAUUGUUGAUUGUUGUUUGGGUUUCGGAGAAAGAAAAUUAAGAUGAGUCAUAUGGGGAAAGCUUGGUUAGUGGCAGCAAGUGUGGGAGCAGUGGAGGCACUCAAGGAUCAGGGCUUCUGCAGAUGGAACUACACUCUGAGGUCUAUUCACCAGCAUGCCAAGACCAACCUCAGGUCCUUUGCUCAGGCCAAGAAGCUCUCUUCUUCCUCUUCUGCCAUGGUUUCCAGCAGAGUGAGGGAGGAGAAGGCCAAGCAGUCAGAGGAGUCUCUGAGGACUGUCAUGUACUUGAGCUGCUGGGGACCCAACUGAAGAAGAAGAUAUGAAGAUGGAUGAUCAUCAGCCUGCACUUGAAGCAUCCAGAGAGGGCAUAUUCCAAGAAAGUUAUGGAAAAUUAAGAUGAAGAAACUGCAGUGAAGCAAUUUCAUGGAAUUUUUGCUUGGAGACUCCCGAAUUACAACCAAUUGCUCAGGGUUGGGAAAAUUGGAAUUGCUGUAAAUUGUGACUGGUUCUUUGUAAAACCCAAAUCAUUUAGCUAGAAAUUGAAAAUACAUUUUAAUUUAAUUUAUAGUUUCUCUGUUAGAAUAUUAGACCCAAUUCCUAAAAAGCUUGUCAGUCUUGUAUUAGACCCAAGCUCAAGCGCAUUAAGAAAAAAUAUGGCAGAUUUGGUCACAUAGGGGAUGAAGAGGUGAUAAAGUAGAUACAACGCCCAAAAUUAAACUCUCAAUCAAUUUAAUUGAACAAAUAAUCAUAAAAGAGAUUUUUUAAAUUUAUGAUUUUUGAAAAAGAAAAUUCCAGUGAAAUAUGUUCAUGUAGACUGUGUGGUAGGAUGAAGACUAAACAAAGAAAUGGACACGUGGUUGAAGUCCGGCCCUACACAUUGCCCCAUUGGAAAACAGUGGUUUCAUCCUCCGUACUCUUUGGGCGUUAAGUGGGUUCACAAACCAAACAAUGGGCUGCCUUAACGUGGUGUUUAUUUUUUUACUUAAUUCUAAAUAGAAUCUUAAUAUUUAAUCGUAUUAAAUAUUAGAUUAUUUAUUUUUUAGUAUUUUAUUUUUAUUAAGUAUUAAAAAGUAAAAAAAAUCAUUGUGUUAUUUUUUCUAUUUAGAAAAAAUUAUAUAUUUUGAUUUUUUCUAUUUAGUAAAAAGUUUAUAAUAAGUCAUUAAAAAGUAAAAAAACAAACCAUCUAAAUUCUAAAACUAAAUGAUUUUUAGCAAAAAGCCAAAAAAACAAACACCACUUUAGACUGAGGACAAACUAUGUAGGUGAAUAUCCCAUUAUACCUACAUGAAUCAGUGGUCAAUCUUACAAAUCUAAGGACAGAGUAGUAAUUCCAAUUCAAACCAAACAAAGCUAUGAGAACUGCUGGCCACAGCCUCUGGUUUCCCCAAAACUUUGGGCAGUAUUCCUCAAAGAAUCAAGUGGGCUAGAUUUAACAACUUCGUCCACCAUGGUUAGAUUAUUGGGGGCUAGAGUAAAUAACUUCAUCCACCAUGGUUAGAUUAUUGGUAUCUCGAUGGGAGAAGUUGUUUUGAUGGAAAAACAUUGUAUUUUAUUAUUUUGUAAAUUUUAUCAUCACUCAUAUAUAUUAUUUUUUAUUUAAAAUUAAAUAAAAAAUUAAAAUUCUUAGAAAAUACGAAAAGAAAGUAUAUCACAAUCUUUAUUUUCUAUUCUAAAAUUAAAAAAUAAAAAUAAAAUUAUGAAGAAAAAAGUACAUUCCAACUUACAUUAAUUAAGGGAUGAUAUACUCUGCAAAUAAAAAAUAUAAAAAAUAAUUAAAGGUUAAAUAAAUCACUUAAUAAAUCGGUAGUAGGGGUUGAUGGUUUCAUUAUUAGACUAUAACAAGGAUUUUCAUUUUCAUUUUCUUUUUAAAUGCAUUUCAUGGUGGUGUAGAAUUUUUUUGUAUAAGGGUUUUUAAAUUGUAAUAUAGAUUAUAUAUAUAGUUGUGUUUUGUCCUAAAUUCUGACUUCCAAGUUUUCAACAUUAUAUAAAAAUCCCUAAAAUCACCUACUUCGUACGUUUUCUAACAUUAUAUAAAAAGCCCUGAAUUCACCUAUUAGAAAAAUGUUAUUUGGUGCGCUAUCAUUACCAUGACCUCAACCUCGUGCAAAGAUAUCGAGUGGUUACUAAUAGUAAAAAAUAAAUAAUAAAAACAAAAUAUAUUCAUUAUUAUUAUUAUUAUUAUUUUGUACUUUUACCAUCCAUUAUUCACAUCUUAGCAUAUGAUAGAAAAGAUGAUAAAAGAUUAUUUAUGUUGUAUGAUUUUAAGUGAAAUGAUCAAAAUAUUUAAAGAAAAAAUUAAUAAUUCAUGAAGAAUUUUUGGUAAAUUUAUAAAUUUGUAAUAAAUAUUGAUAAAUGAUAAACAAAGUAGUUUUUAAAGUGGUUGCAGUAGUUAAACAUUGUAUCUUAUUAUGAUUUUCCACCUUCAAAACUUAAUAAUAAAAUUUCAUAACAAAUUUUUAUCUAUUUGAAACUUUUGAAAUGUGGAAUCUUUUCUUGGACAUUUUUAUAUAUACAUUUGUGAAUUUUAUCUUUAUUUUUUAUUUAUAAAAUUAAAGGAUAAAAUUAAAAUGUUAAAAAUAAAAGAGAAGUAUAUCCCAACUUGCAUCAAUUAAGAGAAGAUAUAUAAAGCACAUGAAGAAUGCAAAAAAAAUUAAUGAUAAAAUAAAUCACUUAUUAGAUAGUAUUUAAUGAUUUACAUUAUUAGAUUGUAGAAAUGAGUUAUAUUUUUAUUUUUGUGUAUAGGGGAUUUUAAAUUAUAAUAUAUAUUUUUAUUUUUGAGUUAGUUUUCUUUGUUGAUACAUAGUUUUUUUUUUGUCUUGGAUAUUGUGUUAUCAGCAGUUUUAAAAGAAAUAAAAAUUAUUUAUCCCACAUCGAUUCAAAACUAAAAAUAUUAUAUAUAUUUAUUAAAACUUUGAUACCCUUAAAAAAUACAAGUACAACCAAUAAGCAAGCAUAGGGAUGACAACGGGGCGGGUAUGGGACAUGCCACCCCUACCCCAUUUCCAUCCCGGUUAUAUAUUUUUUUGCCCAUCCCUGUCCCAAACUCGGGGCGGGGCGAGUUGGUGUCCCCCUUACCUGUUUACAAAAGAGCUGAUAAUCUCAUCCCCAUCCCAAAUGUAUUUUCGGGAAUUAUGCUUUUACAAAACAUGGGUCUCUGAAAUUUCAAUAAACGUUAUAUGGGUUAUCAUAAACACAUUUAAUCAAGCAUUUGUUGUGCAACAAAACUACAAACUGCACAUAUGAGAACAAAAUGCACAGAUCUACAAAUAAACAACCCAAAAAAUCUCAAAUCCAUAAACCAAAACCAGAAAAAUAUGAAAAACAAGACAUUCUAACAAAGCCUCAAAACUUAGGGUUUUCUUACCUGGAAAUGAGGAAUCCAUAGAAACCCUAAUAAUUUGUUGUCUACGAAUUUGGUUUUUGGUUUUUAGAGCAAAAAUUGUGCUUUUAGGGUGAAAUGGGAAGAAGCAAUUUAGGAAUAAAUGAGAAAACGGGAAGAAAUGAGAAAACGAAAGGCCUUUUACGAGCAAAAGAACCCUGAGCAAUUUAGGAAGAAAUGAGAAAACGGGAAGAAAUGAGAGCGAAAGCCCUCUAACUCUCUCAUGAGCAAAAUAACCCUAAAACUUGAGGAAGAAAUGAUUAUAUGUGUAGGACUUUUUGGGUAUUUUGUAAUGACAUAAGGGUAAAUUGGUAAUUCACAUACGGGGCGGGGCAGAAACUGCAAAACCCAUCCCUGCCUUAAACCCAAUUCGGGUUUUUAUAUAUUCCCCAAACCCUUUUUAUACCCGAAUAGGAUAUUCUCAUACCCGUCCCAAUAGGGACGGGGCGGGUGACCCGAAUUACCCGGAAAAUUGUCAUUCCUAAGCAAGCAUUGAGCUAAAUCCUAAUCUCACAUUCCUACUUGAAACUUUACACUCACAUAAAAACAACUCACCACUUGACUCGAGGGACUAUUCCGUAACUUCUCACUACCAACAACCAGGCACUAUUCAACCUCUCGCUCACUUAUAAAUUCACUCCCUACCUGCAUAUUCAAAACGUAUCUCACUACUAUUCUACUCUACUAUUCUACUUUUCGUGGUUUCAUAUCUCACUAUUAUUCCACUUUUCGCGGUUUCAUAUCUCACUACUAUUCGCGUGUUCAAAGUGUAUCCCUCCCUGAAUUAAUUGUGAAUUAAUUUAGGCUUCAAAGUGUGUUGCUCUACAAUAUCCCUCCCAGUCAGGCCUCAAAGUAAGAACAACAACAUCUACAAUAUCUGCCAUGGCCACACAACCAAGGCAUGCGGUAUGCCGCAUUUUCUCAUGUCCUUUUCCCAUUUUGUUCCCUCUUUUCAUCUCCAUUUUGUUUUCAAUAUCCCCUUACCUUACUCAUAUUCUCUAAAAUUAGAUAAAAUUAUUAAUUUGAUCAUAUUUAUCUAACAUUUUUAAUUAAUACUACUAGUAUCUUAUUUUCAUAAAUCUAAUUGAAUUUCCUACUUAUUUAUUUAUUGUUUUCAUGACAAAACUUCAUCAACUUUCAUAUCUUUCCUUACAAUUCUGAGUUCAACUGUCCUUGCGAAAUACCAAUAUGAGAAUGUUUCCCCAUUUGCCCAACACAACAUAGGUAUGCAAAUCUCCUUAUUUGCAUCAUUUAUAUAUUUCAUGAUGGUUGUGGUUUAUGAAAUCCUUGAUUCUAAUGGAACUAUCAAAAUUGAAGAAGAUGGAAGAUAUCUCCUUAUUUUGAGUCAUGUUCGGUUCUUAAGUGGAACAGCAGCUGCAACUUUGUUGAUCCUGAUCUUGAUCCCAUAUUUUGGAUGGUUCUUUCUGAUCAUGUGGACCAUGUUCUUAGUGAAAAUAACAUGCUAUUGGGAUAAAACAUUUUAUAACUUUGACAUGUUCAAGAAUAAAAAAAAAUGCCAAUGAUAGGGAAGGAGGACAAGAGGAGCAACGACUCCAAGUUUAGAGUAGGUUUGGUCCAUCAGAGGUUAUUAGCAAAAAACAUAUUUUCUUCUUGUACUUUCGAAAGUGUUAAAUAAGUGUUAUAUUUUGAGUAAUGAGAGUAUUUUUUUCCUUUUUUCUUUUUUUCUAAUACAUUAUUGGUGAUUAUUCUUCGUCGGAAUACCCACAAGGCUAUUAGAUGUUUCAUUGCAAAAUAUGGUUUUAUAUGAUAGCAUUACGAUUGAACUAAUAAAACAUAUUUUUUGCAUAUUGUUUAGUUGGACCCCCCGACUACCUCUCGGUAAUAUCCUCUUAACAUAGGAAGUAUAAACUAAUAGCAAGUGCUAAUCUUUCCCAUUCUUACACAAGAAAGACCCAAGGAGAAGGUAUAUUUAGAAAUUGCAUAUCUAUGUUCCCAAACAAUAGAAAAUUCAAUAUAUGGCACUUCACUCUCUACUUUUCUUUCCCACAUUUUCUCAUAACCCAAAUAUGCUCACCUCUCAUUCUAAGAUCCAACCAUUGAAAAACAAUUACAAAAAUCCUAAUAAAAGAGAUAGAUCAUACUACAAUUACACUUUCUUACAAGAAAUUGAAGUGUAGAAGGUAUAACAAUUGAGUGAAACAAAUAAAAACCAACCUCCUUUAACACACAUGCUAAUGAAAUACUUGCAGAGACACUUUAAAUUUCUCCAGACUCCAAGAGAUAUUGAACAACAGCCUCGACACCUGCAGCGACGAGACCAUCACCUGAUACGAUAUAAUGCACAAACUCGGCACGGAAUCAAUAAGACUUGGUUGGAUUACAAAUUUUUUUUCAAACAUUCUCUUUUUCUUUCCAAUCACAAUAAAACAUCAGAAUAUUUUCAAAAAUAAAAAUCAGAAAUUCACCUUUCAAAAGCAAACACCCAUGAUUCUGAAAUUGGAGCUUUUAACCUAAAAGAUCAAAGAAGAUGAAGAAGAAAAAACCCAACCCCUGACUCGUUCGGAAAUAAGAGGAGAAACCACCGAAGGAUGAGGGCAUGAUUUAGGAUUUACUUACUUGAUUUUCCUAAAAAUCGAGAAUCAUCGGAGGGUGGAGGUUUGGUGUCAACGGUGGUAACUCGUCAAGUGGAUUGAAUCUUACAACAGCGACGUCGGCCAGGCAACCCUCUCACAGUCAGAUUGCUCUCCCUUCGGGGUCUUGCAUAGUUGCAAAUUUGCAAUUGUAGGUGGUGUCAUCUGUCGACGGUCUUGACAACAAUGGUGUUGUGCGAGUAUGGAAGAUUGGGAGCCUAAAUUGGUAAAGUAAAAAAUGCAUUUUAUAUGGAUUUACAUUGAUGAUAUGAGAUAGGAUUUGAUGGUAACAUAUUAAAUUAAAUUAAAUGAUUGAGUCCAAAAUGAUAUGGAUGGUAUGAGAUAGGAUUUAAUGAAAAAUUAAAUGUAUUUAUAUGGCAGAUUGAGAAUUAAAUCCACAAUUCUUAGUAGUAUUAUAAAUGGCUUUGAGUUAAAUGUGAAAAAGUUUUAUUAAUUUUUUAAGCUUAUUAAAUUUAUAUCUAUUUUUUAUAUAUAAUUUACAUAAUAUUUUUAUAAUUUUUUGAAAUUUCUAAUUAUCUUAUUUUGCGUGUUGCUUGAUAUUGAAUCAAGAUGUUGAGACCAACAUAUCUCGGGAACAUCUGAGUUAAUGAUCGAUAUCGCGACUUUGAACCAUGCUCGUCUCCAAUCCCUUAACAAUGAUGAAAAAUGAGGGCAACACAAUUACCCUUUUUAUUAUUAUCUGUUCAAAAUAAUACAUGCAUUAUAAUAUAAUUUUUUAAAAAUAUUUUACAAAAAAAUAUAUGUGGACCCCGUAUUUAGGCUCAUGCGUUUCCACUCGAUGGCGAGCUUGAUUUUAUUUUGAAAAUAAUUUUAUUUAUUAGAAAAUGACUUGGAGUCGCCACUUAUUUUUGUUUUAUUUUUAAAGGGUAAACAAAAUAAGAAAGAAAACCCUAAGUGUGACUCCUUAUUUUGGAAAAGGUGGUCUGUAAAAAAUUGGAUCGAGUUUGGGGGUCAGGUUACUUAUCGGGAAGGUACGGUAAAGACCGUAGCACCCCUUUAAGUCCCCAAAGUCGGGUCUCUACUAAUAAAAUGAAGUUGACGCAACAAUCAAUAAUAAAAACAAUGAAUACCGACAUGAUCACAUAUUGAAAGCCAAAACAUAUAAGGAUGAUGGUUAGAGUGAGAAAAAAUGCGUACCUGAUCAGCAAGCGGCAACGCGCUAUCAUAAAAUGAGGUUAGUGCACAAAUAAUGGACAUAAAACAUAGCUCACAAGCCACUGAAUCGAGUACAAAAUCAUCAGAUAUCACAAUUAAGUCAAAUUUAUUUUUCGGGGAAACAAUCACUGAUGUUGGGCCUUCACCAAAACCCAAUUUAUUCCUGUAUGAAUUAAUUUCGUAAAUUCCAUCACUUGGAAUUACAGAAUUUAAUUCACACUUAUUUUUAAAAUGUUUUAGAAAUCAUGGAAGUUAUGGAAAUCCAUGCCGAAGAAAAUGGCAACAAAAUUUUAUUAAAAAUGUGAUUUUUGGGACUUGAAAGCUCUAAGGAUGAAGAAUCUGGAAAAUAAUGCGAAAAAAAUGAGAUUUGGAAAAAAAUAUUUUUUUAAACCAAGAAUGGUGAAAAUGAGAAAAAAAAAAAAAAAGGAAGUGACACGUGGCAUAAGGGUGGCCAUGCAAAGGUGGCCAUGCACCAUUCCAAACAAAUCUAACCCCACUUGCUUUUAUUUGAUCCUGAUCUUAAUCCCAUAUUUUGGAUGGUUCCUUCUGGUCAUGUGGACCAUGUUCUUAGUUAAAAUAACAUGCUAUUGGGAUAAAACAUUUUAUAACUUUGACAUGUUCAAGAAUAAAAAAAAUGUCAAUGAUAAGGAAGGAGGACAAGAGGUGCAGCGACCCCAAGUUUAGAAUAGGUUUGGUCCAUAAGAAGUUAUUAACAAAAAAACAUAUUUUCUUCUUGUACUUUUGAAAGUGUUAUAUUUUGAGUAAUGAGAGUAUUUUUUUUUUCCUUUUUUCUUUUUCUUUAAUACAUUAUUGGUGAUUAUUCUUCGCUGGAAUACCCACAUGGCUAUUAGAUGUUUCAUUGCAAAUAUGGUUUUAUAUGAUAGAAUUAUGAUUGAACUUAUAAAACAUAUUUUCUGCAUAUUGUUUAGCUGGGCCUCCCAACUACCUCUCGGUAAUAUCCUCUUAACAUAGGAAGUAUAAACUAAUAGCAAGUGCUAAUAUUUCCCAUUCUUACACAAGAAAGACCCAAGGAAAAGGUAUAUUUAGAAAUUUCAUUUCUAUGUUCCCAAACAAUAGAAAAUUCAAUAUAUGGCACUUCACUCUCUACUUUUCUUUCCCACAUUUUCUCAUAACCCAAAUAUGCUCACCUCUCAUUCCAAGAUCCAACCAAAAUUGAAAAACAAUUACAAAAAUCCUAAUAAAAGAGACAGAUUAUACUACAAUUACACUUUCUUACAAGAAAUUGAAGUGCAUAAGGUAUAACAAUUGAGUGGAACAAAUAAAAACCAGCCUCCUUUAACACAUUUGCUAAUGAAAUACUUGCAGAGACACUUUAAAUUCCUCCAGACUCCAAAAGAUACUGAUCAACAGCCUCGGCACCUGCAGCGACGAGACCAACACCUGAUACGAUAUAAUGCACAAACUCGGCAUGAAAUCAGUAAGACUCAGUUAGAUUACAGAAAAAUUUUCAAACAUUCUUUUUUUCUUUCCAAUCAUAAUAAAACAUCAGAGUAUUUUCAAAAAUAAAAAUCAAAGAUUCCCCUUUCAAAAGCAAACACCUAUGAUUCUGAAAUUGGAGCUUUUAACCCAGAAGAUAAAAAAAGACGAAAAAGAAAAAACCCAACCCCUGACCCGUUCGGAAAUAAGAGGAGAAACCACCGAAUGAUGAGGGCAUGAUUUAGGAUUUACUUACCUGAUUUUCCUAAAAAUCGAGAAUCAUCGGAGGGUGGAGGUUUGGUGUCGGUGGUGGUAACUCGUCAAGUGGACUGAAUCUUACAACGGCGACGUCGGCCAGGCAACCCCUCAUAGUCAGAUUGCUCCCCAUCCGAGGUCUUUCAUAGUUGCAAAUUUGCAAUUGCAGGUGGUGUCAUCUAUCGAUAGUCUUGACAGCAACGGUGGUGUGCAAGGUGUGCGAGAUUGGGAGCCCAAAUUGGUAAAGUAAAAAAUGCAUUUUAUAUGGAUUUACAUUGAUGAUAUGAGAUAGGAUUUGAUGGUAACUUAUUAAAUUAAAUUAAAUGACUGAGUCCAAAAUGAUAUGGAUGGUAUGAGAUGGGAUUUAAUGAAAAAUUAAAUGUAUUUAUGUGGCAGAUUGAGAAUUAAAUCCCCAAUUCUUAGUAUUAUUAUAAAUAGCUUUGAGUUAAAUGUGAAAUUUUUUUGUUUUAUUAAGUUUUUAAGCUUAUUUAAUUUCUAUCUAUUUUUUAUAUAUAAUUUACAUAACAUUUUUAUAAUUUUAUGAAAUUUCUAAUUAUCUUAUUUUGCGUAUUGCUUGAUACUGAAUCAAGAUGUCGAGACUAACAUAUCUCGAGAUCAUCUGAGUCAAUGAUCGAUAUCGCGACUUUGAACCAUACUUGUCUCCAAUCCCUCAACAGUGAUGAAAAAUGAGGCCAACACAGUUGCCUUUUUUAUUAUUAUCAGUUAAAAAUAAUGAAUCUAUAUCCAUGUAUUAUCAAGAAUAAAUAAGUUUAUAUUUAUAAAUUUUUAUUAUAAAUUUAUAUUUACACAUAUCCUUGAUUUUCCUCAAGGUCUUAUUUUUAAUUGAUUACAAAGCAUUAGUACUUAUUUAAUUUAAAAUGUAUUAAAUAAAUAUUAAUAUUACAUAAAUAAAUAAAAGUUGAAUUUGAAUAAAAAUUAUAUAUAUAUAUAUAUAUAUCAUAUUCUACAUGAAUAUGAAUCUAUUAUUAAAGAUACAUGGUAAUAAGUGUUAAUAUUAUAUAAUCAAAUGAGAGUACAAAAAUUUUCUAUUAUUAACAAUACAUUAUUAUAAUAAUGAAAUACUUAAUAUCAUGUAAAUAAAUAAAAGUCAUCAUAAAUUUAAAUUUGAAUUUAUAUUUUUAAACCCAUCAAAUUUAUUUUUAUUUAUUUUUAAUUUUAAGAAUUUUUUCUCCACUUCAAAUAGCAAUAAUAGUGUUUAUUCAUACUAAUUAUACUUAAAAUUGAUGAAAUUUAUGAAAAAAGAAGAAGUAAAAACCCAUACCCUUCAAAUUUACAUUUGUUUUAAUUUUAAGAUUUUUUUUCUCUACUUCAAGUAAUAAUAAUAAUAAUGUUUAUUCAUACUAAUAGCAAUAAAAUUAACGAAAAUGAUGAAAAAUAAAAAAUAAAAAAUAAAUAGUAAAAACUUCAAAAUUUUAAUAAUAAUAAUAAUAUUUAUUCAUACUAAUAAACAAUUCUUCAUAAUCAUAACCUACUAAUUUCCAACAAUUAUAAUUGAAAUUGUUUUGAAUAAACAAUGUAAUUUGUAUUUGAAGUUGAAGAAAAUUGUGAAAAUUAAAUGGGAAGGGUAGGGUUUUAAUUUUUUAUUUUAUUUAAAAUUUUUCCCUCAUUAAUUAAUUAAUUAAUUAAUUAAUUUAUUUAUUUAUUUAUGAAUUUUGAGUGAAAUUAUUAUGAAUCAACAAUUUUAUUGAUAUUUAAAGUUUAAAAAAAAAAAAUCUAUGAAUUUUAAAUAAAUUUUGGAAGGUAUUUGUAAUGGGGUAUUUUUAUUUGCACUUUCCUAUUAUGUUGAAAUAUUGUUUGGUUUCAACAUUGUUUAUUCAAAAUAAUUUCAAUUAUAAUUAUUGGAAAUUAGGAGGUUAUGAUUAUGAAGAAUUGUUUAUUAGUAUGAAUAAACAUUAUUAUUAUUAUUAUUAUUAUUAUUUGAAGCAGAGAAAAAAAUUCAUAAUGCAUAGGGAGACCACAGAUUCUAUGGAUUCAACAAUUGAUAAACCUACUUGUUUAUGUUAUUGUCCCUAACCAUCUAUUCCAUUUUUGAAUUUACUUUUGGUGCAUUUAGUUUGUAACUUAUCUUAUGUUUUACUUAUUUUCAAUUUUUUUUUUUUAAGGUUAAGAUAGUAGUUUUUUUUUUUUUUAAAAAAAAAAAAAAAAACUCUUUUGAGCAAUACUUGAUUCUCUUGCUAUUCUUAUUUUUAACCAUUUUUUCAAUAAGAAAUUAUUUCUUUUUGGCGGAAUUGUAGGAAGUGGAUUGAAUCGGAAAAUUUAUUUGGGCCAGAUUGUGUUUCACUAGAGUCUUGAGAGAUGCAGCUUAGUGAGCUUAUAAUAAAAAGGUAGGCAUUUAAACGGACCAUACUGGUCCGAGUCAAUCUUAGUUUGGCCUAGUGGGCCUUCGGAAUUGCUCCAACAUGAAUUUCAAUGUCAACUUCAAUUUUUAAAAUUAAUAAUUAUACAUUUGUUUUAACUAUUUAUAACAAAUAUUAUCUUUGAAAAGUAAAUUUCAAUUAAUUUUUAUAUUUAAAUAAAAAUUAUUAUUAUUUUAAUUAUUUGUAUCCAAAUCAUACCCGAUAUAUUUGAUUUAUCUUACAAUGUUUCAACAUAAUAGGAAAUUGCAAAUAAAAAUACCCCAUUACAAAUACCUUCCAAAAUUUAUUUAAAAUUCAUAUAUAUUUAUAUAUAUAUAUAUAUAUAUAUAUAUAUAUAUAUAUGAAUUUUAAAUAUCAAUAAAAUUGUUGAUUCAUAAUAAUUUCACUUAGAAUUCAUAAAAAAAUACGAGGAAAAAAAUUAAAAUAAAAAUUUUUAAGAUCCCUACCCUUCCCAUUUAAUUUUAACAAUUUUUUUCUGAGCAUUGAUUUGUUGAUCGAUUAUCAAGGGCCACUCAUUUGCUUUGUUGGAUCUAACUCUCUGUAUGCAUGCUCUGUUUUGGCUUUGUUUGUUUUUUUUUUUUUUUUUUAUCUUUGCUUUCUCUUGUAAAUAUCUGAUGCAUUGUUCCUUCUCUGAACUUGAGAUAUAAAAAUCAUGCUCUUGUUCCUUGUGGAUUCCACCUUCUCCUAGCUCUUUGACAAUCCAUGAAAUAGAGCUAAGUUCAUACUCUAUUUUUAUGUUUUUAUUCUUCUUUGUUUGUUGUUGAUGGUGGGAUGAUAUUAUCAAUGGCUAAGUUGCUGGGAUUUGAGGAGUGAGGUUAUGGGGAAGUGAACUUAAUGGAGGAUUUCUAUGAUCAUAUCUAUGCUCCAAUCUAUUGGUUCAAAAUGUUGGCCAUGAGACUGCAUUGAAGUUUUGGUAUUUGGGAUCACUUUGCCAUCCGGGUUCAGUAAGCAACACAGUGGCAAUAAAGAUGCAUUGGUGUUAUUAAUUUGGGUGAAUAAGUUGGUUGUAUGAAUCGUGAAAGUUCAGGUUGUGCUUUGAGGAGAGUAUAUCUUGCAUCCUAUUAUUUUAAUUAUUAAUUUUGGAUGUUGAAAUAUGAUGUGAUCGCACUUCAUACAUCAUGGUUGUGUGAGGAAAAAGAAAGAUUGAAGAAAUGGUUGUGUGAAAUGGAAAUAAGAAUGAAAAGACCCUGGAGAGGGCAAAAAUGAAAAGAAAAAAAAAAUGAAAUGAUCCCAGAGAGGGCAAAUUAAGAAGGAAGUGAGAUCUUUAAGGUGAAAGUCCCAAAAGUUUACUUCGGGAAGACUCCGAAUGGGGAGUAUAUUUAGGUACAGAUGUGUAUCCUUUGGUGAAAGCUUGAGAACCAUAGUGCAUUGUGUGAUUGCGUGUAAGCAUUUGCAUCAUAAUUGCGUUUGGAAGAAGGAUUUGUAUUAUUUAUCAAGUGUAUGUUUGAAUAUAUUAUUCAAAACUAAAAUGACUUGUUUAUUUUGUAAAUUUAGAAUUGUUGAUAUACUAAACAUAUGAUUGAAUAAGGAAAAUGAUAAUUUUGAUUGUUUUAAAUUUAUAUGGUUAAGGUUUCUUUUAAUGUAUAUAUUGUAAAUGUAAUAUUGUAUUUUGACAUAUGGUUGUGUUAUUGACCUAGAAUUUCUAACCUAUUUGGGUGUAAAACACCCUACUGAGCAACGUGGAAAUGCCCAUCUCUUUAUUUUCUAAAAUUUUAGAUGCAAAUAUAGUUUCAGAGGGACCACAAGAAGUUCAAGAAGCGUUCUAGAAAGUAAAAGAACUAUAAUAAUAGUUGUUUUUAAAUUUAUAUUUCUCUUUUUAUAUGUACCAAUUUGAGUUAUAUGGACUUUUGUAUGUUAAAUUAUAUUUUGUUAAAUUGUAAAAUAUUUUUGGAAAUAUUUUUUUUAACUUAGAGAUUAUUGUAAAUAUUUCAGCUUUUGGGCAGAAAGAUGACUGGUGGAUUUAUUAUACUUGUGAAUAAGAGAUAGUGUGAUGGUUGGUUUUAGAAAAAUAAAAUAUUAUAGUAAAUCUUAACUUAAUAAGAGCAGGAUGAUCAUCAGCCUGCUCUUGAAGCAUCCAGGGAGGGCAUAUUCCAAGAAAGUUACGAAAAAUUGAGAUGAAGAAACUGCAGUGAAGCAAUUUCAUGGAAUUUUUGCUUGGAGACUCACGAAUUACAACCAAUUGCUCAGGGUUGGGAAAAUUGGAAUUGGUGUAAAUUGUGACUGGGUCUUUGUAAAACCCACAUCAUUUAGCUAGAAAAGCUUUGAAAAUACAUUUUAAUUUAAUUUAUAAUUUCUAUGUUAGAAUAUUAGAUCCAAUUCCUAAAAAGCUUAUCAGCCUUGUAUAUAUGGCUAAGCAGGUCAACUUCCCAAGCUCAAGCGCAUUAAGAAAUUCUCAGACCUACCUUUUUUUUAUAGGAUUUUUGGGAAGUUUUACAGCAAUUGAAAACAAAUCCUAAAAGGGUCGGGAAAUUAUUUGAAAAAAUAUGGCAGAUUUGGUCACAUAGGGGACAAAGAUGUGAUAAAGUUGGUACAACGCCCAAAAUUAAACUCUCAAUUAAUUUAAUUAAACAAAUAAUCAUAAAAGAGAUCUGUGUAGACUGUGUGGCAGGUUUUUAAUUUAUGAUUUUUGUUUUUUUAUUUAUACUUUUUGAAAAAGAAAAUUCCAGUGAAAUAUGUUCGUGUAGACUGUGUGGCAGGAUGCAGACUAAACAAAGAAAUUGACACGUGCUUGAAUCCGGCCCUACACAUAGCCCCAUUGGAAAACAGCGGUUUCAUCCUCCGUACUCUUUGGGCGUUAAGUGGGUUCACAAACCAAACAAUGGGCUGCCCCAACACAGCAACACUUAGAUUGAGGACAAACUAUGUAGGUGAAUACCCAAUUAUACCCACAUGAAUCAGCGGUCAAUCUUUCAAAUCUAAGGACAGAGUAGUCAUUCCAAUUCAAACCAAACAAAGCUAUGAGAACUGCUGGCCACAGCCUCUGGUUUCCCCAAAACUUUGGGCAGUAUUCCUCAAAGAAUCAAGUGGGCUAGAUUUAAUAACUUCGUCCACCAUGGUUAGAUUAUUGGGGGCUAGAGUCAAUAACUUCAUCCACCAUGGUUAGAUUAUUGGUAUCUCGAUGGGAGAAGUUGUUUUGAUGGAAAAACAUUGUAUUUUAUUAUUUUGUAAAUUUUAUCAUCACUCAUAUAUAUUAUUUUUUAUUUAAAAUUAAAUAAAAAAUUAAAAUUCUUAGAAAAUACGAAAAGAAAGUAUAUCACAAUCUUUAUUUUCUAUUCUAAAAUUAAAAAAUAAAAAUAAAAUUAUGAAGAAAAAAGUACAUUCCAACUUACAUUAAUUAAGGGAUGAUAUACUGUGCAAAUAAAAAAUAUAAAAAAUAAUUAAAGGUUAAAUAAAUCACUUAAUAAAUCGGUAGUAUGAGUUGAUGGUUUCAUUAUUAGACUAUAACAAAGAUUUUCAUUUUCUUUUUCUUUUUAAAUGCAUUUUAUGGUGGUGUAUAACUUUUUUGUAUAAGGGUUUUUAAAUUGUAAUAUAGAUUAUAUAUAUAGUUGUGUUUUGUCCUAAAUUCUGUCUUCCAAGUUUUCAACAUUAUAUAAAAAUCCCUAAAAUCACCUACUUUAUACGUUUUCUAACAUUAUAUAAAAAUCCCUGAAUUCACCUAUUAGAAAAAUGUUAUUUGGUGCGCUAUCAUUACCAUGGCCUCAACCUCGUGCAAAUAUAUCGAGUGGUUACUAAUAGUAAAAAAUAAAUAAUAAAAACAAAAUAUAUUCAUUAUUAUUAUUAUUAUUUUGUACUUUUACCAUCCAUUAUUCACAUCUUAGCAUAUGAUAGAAAAUACGAUAAAAGAUUAUUUAUGUUGUAUGAUUUUAAGUGAAAUGAUCAAAAUAUUUAAAGAAAAAAUUAAUAAUUCAUGAAGAAUUUUUGGUAAAUUUAUAAAUUUGUAAUAAAUAUUGAUAAAUGAUAAACAAAAUAGUUUUUAAAGUGGUUGCCGUAGUUAAACAUUGUAUCUUAUUAUGAUUUUCCACCUUCAAAACUUAAUAAUAAAAUUUCAUAACAAAUUUUUAUCUAUUUGAAACUUUUGAAAUGUGAAAUCUUUUCUUGGACAUUUUUAUAUAUACAUUUGUGAAUUUUAUCUUUAUUUUUUAUUUAUAAAAUUAAAGGAUAAAAUUAAAAUGUUAAAAAUAAAAGAGAAGUAUAUCCCAACUUGCAUCAAUUAAGAGAAGAUAUAUUAAGCACAUGAAGAAUGCAAAAAAAAUUAAUGAUAAAAUAAAUCACUUAUUAGAUAGUAUUUAAUGAUUUACAUUAUUAGAUUGUAGCAAUGAGUUAUAUUUUUAUUUUUGUGUAUAGGGGAUUUUAAAUUAUAAUAUAUAUUUUUUAUUAUUUUUGAGUUAGUUUUCUUUGUUGAUACAUAGUUUUUUUUUUUGUCUUAGAUAUUGUGUUAUCAGCAGUUUUAAAAGAAAUAAAAAUUAUUUAUCCCACAUCGAUUCAAAACUAAAAAUAUUAUAUAUAUUUAUUAAAACUUUGAUACCCUUAAAAAAUACAAGUACAACCAAUAAGCAAGCAUAGGGAUGGCAACGGGGCGGGUAUGGGACAUGCCACCCCUACCCCAUUUCCAUCCCAGUUAUAUAUUUUUUUGCCCAUCUCUGUCCCAAACUUGGGGCGAGGCGAGUUGGUGUCCCCCUUACCUGUUUACAAAAGAGCUGAUAAUCUCAUCCCCGUUCCAAAUGUAUUUUCGGGAAUUAUGCUUUUACAGAACAUUGGUCUCUGAAAUUUCAAUAAACGUUAUAUGGGUUAUCAUAAACACAUUUAAUCAAGCAUUUGUUGUGCAACAAAACUAAAAAUUGCACAUAUGAGAACAAAAUGUACAUAUCUACAAAUAAACAACCCAAAAAAUCUCAAAUCCAUAAAGCAAAACCAGAAAAAUAUGAAAAACAAGACAUUCUAACAAAGCCUCAAAACUUAGGGUUUUCUUACCUGGAAAUGAGGAAUCUAUAGAAACCCUAAUAAUUUGUUGUCUACGAAUUUGGUUUUUAGUUUUUAGAGCAAAAAUUGUGCUUUUAGGGUGAAAUGGGAAGAAGCAAUUUAGGAAGAAAUGAGAAAACGGGAAGAAAUGAGAAAACGAAAGGCCUCUUAUGAGCAAAAGAACCCUGAGCAAUUUAGGAAGAAAUGAGAAAACGGGAAGAAAUGAGAGCGAAAGCCCUCUAACUCUUUCACGAGCGAAAUAACCCUAAAACUUGAGGAAGAAAUGAUUAUAUAUGGAGGACUUUUUGGGUAUUUUGUAAUGACGUAAGGGUAAAUUGGUAAUUCACAUACGGGGUGGGGCAGAAACUGCAAAACCCAUCCCUGCCUUAAACCCGAUUCGGGUUUUUAUAUAUUCCCCAAACCCGUUUUAUACCCGAAUAGGAUAUUCUCAUACUCGUCCCAAUAGGGACGGGGCGGGUGACCCAAAUUACCCGGAAAAUUGUCAUUCCUAAGCAAGCAUUGAGUUAAAUCCUAAUCUCACAUUCCUGCUCGAAACUUUACACUCACAUAAAAACAACUCACCACUUGACUCGAGGGACUAUUCCGUAACUUCUCACUACCAACAACUAGGCACUAUUCAACCUCUCGCUCACUUAUAAAUUCACUCUCUACCUGCAUAUUCAAAAUGUAUCUCACUACUAUUCUACUCUACUAUUCUACUUUUCGUGGUUUCAUAUCUCACUAUUAUUCUACUUUUCGCGGUUUCAUAUCUCACUACUAUUCGCGUGUUCAAAGUGUGCAUAUUCAAACUGUAUCCCUCCCUGAAUUAAUUGUGAAUUAAUUUAGGCUUCAAAGUGUGAUGCUCUACAAUAUCCCUCCCAGUCAGGCCUCAAAGUAAGAACAACAACAUCUACAAUAUCUGCCAUGGCCACACAACCAAGGCAUGCGGUAUGCCGCAUUUUCUCAUGUCCUUUUCCCAUUUUGUUCCCUCUUUUCAUCUCCAUUUUGUUUUCAAUAUUCCCUUACCUUACUCAUAUUCUCUAAAAUUAGAUAAAAUUAUUAAUUUGAUCAUAUUUAUCUAACAUUUUUAAUUAGUACUACUAGUAUCUUAUUUUCAUAAAUCUAAUUGAAUUUCCUACUUAUUUAUUUAUUGUUUUCAUGACAAAACUUCAUCAGCUUUCAUAUCUUUCCUUACAAUUCUGAGUUCAACUGUCCUUGCGAAAUACCAAUAUGAGAAUGUUUUCCCAUUUGCCCAACACAACAUAGGUAUGCAAAUCUCCUUAUUUGCAUCAUUUAUAUAUUUCAUGAUGGUUGUGGUUUAUGAAAUCCUUGAUUCAGAUGGAACUAUCAAAAUUCAAGAAGAUGGAAGAUAUCUCCUUAUUUUGGGUCAUGUUCGGUUCUUAAGUGGAACAGCAGCUGCAACUUUGUUGAUCCUGAUCUUGAUCCCAUAUUUUGGAUGGUUCUUUCUGAUCAUGUGGACCAUGUUCUUAGUGAAAAUAGCAUGCUAUUGGGAUAAAACAUUUUAUAACUUUGACAUGUUCGAGAAUUAAAAAAAAUGCCAAUGAUAAGGAAUGAGGACAAGAGGAGCAACGACCCCAAGUUUAGAGUAGGUUUGGUCUAUAAGAGGUUAUUAGCAAAAAACAUAUUUUCUUCUUGUACUUUCGAAAGUGUUAUAUAAGUGUUAUAUUUUGAGUAAUGAGAGUAUUUUUUUUUUCCUUUUUUCUUUUUCUCUAAUACAUUAUUGUUGAUUAUUCUUCGCUGGAAUACCCACAAAGCUAUUAGAUGUUUCAUUGCAAAUAUGGUUUUAUAUGAUAGCAUUAUGAUUGAACUAAUAAAAUAAAUUUUCUGCAUAUUGUUUAGCUGGACCUCCCAACUACCUCUCGGUAAUAUCCUCUUAACAUAGGAAAUAUAAACUAAUAGCAAGUGCUAAUCUUUCCCAUUCUUACACAAGAAAGAACCAAGGAAAAGGUAUAUUUAGAAGUUGCAUUUCUAUGUUCCCAAACAAUAGAAAAUUCAAUAUAUGGUGCUUUACUCUCUACUUUUCUUUCCCACCUUUUCUCAUAACCCAAAUAUGCUCACGUCUCUUUCCAAGAUCCAACCAAAAUUGAAACACAAUUACAAAAAUCCUUGUAAAAAAGACAGAUCAUACUACAAUUACACUUUCAUACAAGAAAUUGAAGUGCAGAAAGUAUAAAAAUUGAGUGAAACAAAUAAAAACCAACCUCCUUUCACACACCUGCUAAUGAAAUACUUGUAGAGACACUUUAAAUUUCUCCAGACUCCAAGAGAUAUUGAUCAACAGCCUCGACACUUGCAGCGACGAGACCAGCAUCUGAUACGAUAUAAUGCACAAACUCGGCACGGAAUCGAUAAGACUCGGUUAGAUUACAAAUUUUUUUUCAAACAUUCUUUUUUUCUUUCCAAUCACAAUAAAACAUCAUAAUAUUUUCAAAAAUAAAAAUAAGAGAUUCCCCUUUCAAAAGCAGACACCCAUGAUUCUGAAAUUGGAGCUUUUAACCCAGAAGAUCAAAGAAGAUGAAGAAGAAAAAACCCAACCCCUGACCCGUUCGAAAAUAAGAGGAGAAACCACCGAAGAAUGAGGGCAUGAUUUAGGAUUUACUUACUUGAUUUUCCUAAAAAUCAAGAAUCAUCGGAGGGUGGAGGUUUGGUGUCGGCGGUGGUAACUCGUCAAGUGGACUGAAUCUUACAACGGCGACGUCGGCCAGACAACCCCUUCACAGUUAGAUUGCUUCCCCUCCGGGGUCUUGCAUAGUUGCAAAUUUGCAAUUGUAGGUGGUGUCAUCUGUCGGCGGUCUUGACAACAAUGGUGGUGUGCGAGUGUGGGAGAUUGGGAGCCCAAAUUGGUAAAGUAAAAAAAUGCAUUUUAUAUGGAUUUACAUUGAUGAUAUGAGAUAGGAUUUGAUGGUAACAUAUUAAAUUAAAUUAAAUGAUUGAGUCCAAAAUGAUCUGGAUGGUAUGAGAUGGGAUUUAGUGAAAAAUUAAAUGUAUUUAUAUGGCAGAUUGAGAAUUAAAUCCACAAUUCUUAGUAUUAUUAUAAAUAGCUUUGAGUUAAAUGUGAAAAAAAUUUAUUAAUUUUUUAAGCUUAUUAAGUUUAUAUCUAUUUUUUUUAUAUAUAAUUUACAUAAUAUUUUUAUAAUUUUUUUGAAAUUUCUAAUUAUCUUAUUUUGCGUAUUGCUUGAUAUCGAAUCAAGAUGUCGAGACCAACAUAUCUCGAGAUCAUCCGAGUCAAUGAUCGAUAUCGCGACUUUGAACUAUGCUCAUCUCCAAUCCCUCAAUAGUGAUGAAAAAUAAGGGCAACGCAAUUACCUUUUUUAUUAUUAUCAGUUCAAAAUAAUACAUGUAUUAUAAUAUAAUUUUUUUAAAAUAUUUUACAAAAAAAUAUAUGUGGACCCCGUAUUUAGGCUCAUGCGCUUCCAUUCGAUGGCAAACUCGAUUUUAUUUUGAAAAUGAUUUUAUUUAUUAAAAAAUGACUUGGAGUCGCCACUUAUUUUUGUUUUAUUUUUAAAGGGUAAAGAAAAUAAGAAAGAAAACCCUAUGUGUGACUACUUAUUUUGAAAAAGGUGGUCUGUGAAAAACCGAAUCAGGUUCGGGGGUCAGGUUACUUAUUGGGAAGGUACAGUAAAAACCGUAGCACCCCUUUAAGUUCCCAAAGUCGGGUCUCUACUAAUAAAAUGAAGCUAACACGACAAUGAAUAAGAAAAAUAAUGAAUAUUGACAUGAUCACAUAUUGAAAGCCAAAACAUAUAAGGAUGAUGGUCAGAGUGAGAAAAAAUGCAUACCUGAUCAGCAAGCGGUAACGCGCUAUCAUAAAAUGAGGUUAGUGCACAAAUAAUGGACAUAAAACAUAGCUCACAUGCCACUGAAUCGAGUACAAAAUCAUCAGAUAUCACAAUUAAGUUAAAUUUAUUUUUCGAGGAAACAAUCACUGAUGUUGGGCCCCCACUGUAGACCCUCAAAUUUGUCCCUUUAGCACAUGUCUUUGAGUUCGUUUUCAGUACUUCAAAAUAGUUCCUUGGUGGCCCAUGGCUACUCAUACCACUUACCUUUUUCUGAGUCACCUCGGAGAUUUUGGUCGAGGGAUUAUCUGACCCAUUAUUGUGACCCUUGGCAACCCUAUUUUAGACUUAGGCUUUUCGUUCAUUUUUAGGAUAGCUUUUAGGGUAGCUCAUUUAGGCACCCUAGGCCCACUUAGGCACUUAGGCCCAUUUAGGCACCCUAGAUCCACUUAGGCACUUAGGCCCAUUAGGUCCACCUUGGCCCACUUAGUCUCACCUUGGCCCAUUAGUCUUUGUUUUUAGUAUGACUUAUAUGGUUGUAUGACGCAUUUAUCUCAUUUACUUAUUUAUUUAUCUUUAUUUUUUAUUAUUACUAACCACUUUUAUUUGAUCAUUUAUUAUGGUUUUAUUUAUUCAUUUGUUUUGAUUUAUUUUCAUUAUUAUCAAUCAUUUUUUAGUUAUUUAUUUAUUUAGUAUUCUUACUUAUUUAUUUAUUAUCUUGUUAUUUAUUCAUUUAUCUAUUAUUAUCAUUUUAUAUUCUCCGAUUUAUUUAUUUAGUUAUUUAUUUAUUUUAUUAUUUAUUAUCUAUUUUAUUAUUUAUUUAUUUAUUUAAUUUAAUAAUUUGAAAUUUUUAUGGAAGAAGUCUACCAUUGGAUAAGUUUUUGAAAACGGUAAAACUCUUUAAAUGAUAUGCAUGGAUUGUGGGUGAUAUGCGUGGAUUGGUAUUGUUUGAAAUUAAAAAAAAAUGAGUUUUUCCGGUGCAUAAGAUAAAAUCUGGAGGGAGGAAGACUCCUCACGUAGGAGGACUAUUAUUUGCUAUAAAAAAGCUCUAACAGAUAGGUAUAAAGGGAGGACUUUCGGCACAUAGAAAAAAAAAAAAAAAAGAGAGAGAGGCGGAAAAAUUGGAUUUUCAGAGAAGACUUUCUAGUGAGAAGCUGUCGGUGGAGAAGAAGGAGAGGGCGGUGGAAGAAAUCUCAGACGACAAACCAGUGGGAUCUCCUUGCCAGAGGAGAGCGUUCCUCGGUAUGUUUGUUGAGAACUCCUUACUUAUUGAUAUUAUCACUUUGUUCUGUAUCCUCUCUGGUUAGUGUUCUUUUACCAUUGUUUUUUUGUUAGGAUAUGAAAGUGAUAUUGGUCUUCUCUUCUCUCAUAUUCUUUUAGUUUCAUCUAAUCAUAAAUCUGAACGUAGUCUCAAUCACACCACUGGUCUGCGAAUCUAUCGACUUCAGAAAGAAAUGGGAUCCCAUUUAAUGUCUAGUUUCCUUGUUUAUUUUGUUAUGGAUAUCCUGUAUUUUGUUUCGUUUACUACUCUACAUCUAGUAUCCCGAUCCAUGUCCCUGUUGUUGGCUCACAUCUUUGAAUUUACUCCGGACGUUUGGUUUCGUGUUCUGAUUUGCACUUGAGAGAGAGGGUUCAGUACAUGACAAGCCAUAUAUCGUGUUAAAUGGAAAUUUGGAUUUUUUUUUCACUGGAGAUUUUAGAUUUCAAAAAUUGGUUUGCAUAGGAACUCUUCCCGAAGUCGGACCUUCGACAAGCCAUUCAAUUCCUAGUCAUUCCUAAUCUCUAGCAUUCCUCUAUCUGAAUUUCAGAUAGAUUUGGUUACCCACUUCCCGAAAACACUAGAAACUGAGUCCACUCCUUUUAGGUCACUGCUUUCUCAUCAUUCGCGGGAUGGGUCUUCCACAUCUGCUUGUGUUCCUGUUCCUGACAUGAAGACCCUAACUAGUUCGUUGCGAUCUUCUCAUUUUGAAGCCCUAGAUGAUCAAAGUUUGGUUCCUACUUCGCCAUGGUCUUGGAACAGAGAAACUAAACCACCAUUCUCUUCAUACCUUCCUCGAGAAAUUGAACCCACUAUGGUGGGUGCUGGGCUUGUAAAUCUAGGCAACACAAUGCUUUCUUAAUGCAGUGCUCCAAUGCUUCACGCACACUGUCCCCCUUGUCCAGAGCCUUCGUUCUUGCAAUUAUGCCAUGCCUUGUCAUAGUUUGUGUUUCUUCCAUUGGUUUCUGUUUAUAUUAAAGAAUGAUCCGACUUUGUUAGUUCCAUUGUAAUAUCCAGAAGUUCCUUCUUCUUUCUUCCAUGUUCAAGCCUGUUGAAAGUGCAUGUAUGAUACAUGGCUUUGAAUGAUUGCCCAUCUACGUGUUUCCCUUCCCCUUGCCAUCCUUUUGCUAUAUCUUAUAGCCUUUGUUCAUGGUUUGUGGGUCGGUUUGCAAGAACGUCUUAUCGUUUGCAAUGAUUAGCACCCGAGCCAUCCUCAUUUGGCUGAUCAAUGUCACUGGGGAAGUCCUUGGAGGGCGGUUGCUACUCUUGAUAUUACAGGUGAUAUGGUGGUAUUUGUGGGUUUUGUUGAGGGUAUUUGGGUUCAGAUCGAAACUGCCCAUCUGAGGUCCUGGAUGAAAGAAUCAAUCCUGUGUCAGUUGUUUGUCUCAAUUAUCUAUAAGAUAGACAAGUGUCCUUAUUAGCAACAGGUGAAAGGAUGGGUAUGCAGAUAGAUCCAAGCCAAGUUGGAGAGUGGUGUCGGACACGCGCUUGAUGAAGGAAACAUUGAGGUUCUUGGAUAUAAACAUGGUCCUACCAUCAGAUCUGAUGUGACAACCAAUAUGUUGUGUCACAAGGAAGAAAUAUUUGAACCAAUACUUCUCUGCAUGGCCAUGCGAAUUCCGAGCAUAUAUACUCCUCGACUGGGACGACGUUCAUAAUGUUGACCACGUGUGAACUAUUUUUUGAAGGUGGGAAUUUUGCGAAUUCAUUUCAGCGCCCAAUUUUGUGUGUAUUUGAUCAGACUUUGGGCUAUCAGUUGGAAUCCAGCACGACUUUAGUUAUCGGCCGCUCGUUCACGAUGUGCUAGAUUGGAAGCUUAAUAGGUUGGAGUAUGGGGCAGACCUCUAGCACUGCUAGGUUCGCCUGACACAGGUGGACAGAUUGCUUAUAUGCUGGAUCAAGUGCGUGCCUUGGAAAAUGAGAUGCUUCUUAAGAUACAAAAGCAAGGACUUGAUGUCAUUCCUAAAAUUCUCAUAGUUACCCGACUUAUACCUGAUGCAAAGGGGACCACACGCAAUCAGAGACUUGAAAGAAUCAGUGGUACAGAACAUACACAUAUUUUUUGAGUGCCAUUUAGAAGAGAAAAUAGUAUUCUGCGGAAAUGGAUCUCAAGGUUUGAUGUAUGGCCAUAUCUGGAAACCUUUGCAGAGGAUGUAUCAAAUGAAAUUGCUGCCGAGCUACAGGGAGUUCCAGAUCUGAUCAUUGGCAACUAUAGUGAUGGGAAUCUUGUUGCAUCUUUACUAUCUUAUAAGCUGGGAAUUACGCAGUGCAAUAUUGCUCAUGCAUUGGAGAAAACAAAAUAUCCAGAGUCUGAUAUAUAUUGGAGAAAAUUUGAGGAUAAGUACCAUUUCUCAAGCCAAUUUACUGCUGAUCUAAUUGCAAUGAACAAUGCAGAUUCUAUAAUCACCAGUACAUACCAAGAGAUUGCCGGAAGCAAGAAUCAUGUUGGACAGUAUGAGAGCCACACAGCCUUCACUCUUCUAGGGCUGCACCGAGUUGUUCAUGGCAUUGAUUUUUUAUCCCAAGUUUAAUAUCAUAUCUCCAGAAGCAGACAUGCCCAUAUACUUCUCAUACUCAGAAAAAGAAAUGGUUGAAAGUCACAUGCAGAAACUCGUCCAUAUGGAAAACUUGAAAAUAUGCACAUAUUCCUUUUUGAUCCUUGCUGCCAGUUUUCACUCAACCACUGACCCUUCAACUUCAAAAAUUCAUUUUGACAACUUUAGGAUAUCUGUAAAAAAUUUCCAGAAAUUUUAUGACUUUCCUCACUUCUUGAACUUGAAUUUGAGGUUUUGUUUGAGUUAGAAAGUCAUUCUGAGAUAGAAGAUAUAAAUGAGUCUUUAGGGGGACUCCGUUUUCACAUAGUUCUGGACACCCAAGAUCUUUUGGAAAAAAUAAAAUACUAGAGGACUUUUUAAAAUUGAUUCAAUAUUUUUUCUCAAUUAUGAGCUUCUUGAAAUUGAUUUUAGACACAUAAAAUAUUAGAAAAUAUGCAUUUUUGAGGGAGAUAUGAUUUUUCAAAGUUGUGCCUACUGCGCAUGCUGGAGUUUGUACAUCUGAUUACAUUUAUAGUUUUAAAAAUAUUUUUGAGUACUAUUCGACCCCGAAUUUAUUUUUUAUGUGAUAUAGACAUUUUGAAAUAUGUGUGUGAUUUUUUUUUAUGAUUUUAUAGGAUCAUUUAUUAUUUUAAAAAAAUUCAUUUAUGCACGUCACUUUUCCUUAUCUAAUCUGGACUUUGUAGAACCUUUAGGUGCCUUUGCAAUAAUCUGUCUUUUGAAUGAGUGUUUGGCUUUUGGUAUGUUAAUCUAGGUGUGUAGGAGUUGUUUCCUGAAACUUUUUGUAAUCAAAUUCCACUCUAAGCCAUUUUUUUAGAAAUUGUUUUACGAUGCUUCAUUUUCUAACCGCAUGCUGAUGGUUUUAUACCUUACUUGAAAUUGUUAUUAUUUUUGGAGUCAUUUAAUUUGUCUUAGCUCAAUUUUGGCUUUGAAACUGUAUAUUAGACAUAAUGGAUAUUUCAUAUAAUUUAUGCUUGCCCUAACCAAUCUAGCAUUUUUCGAGGAAUCUUAUAAAAUAUACUUGCUAUCCAGGUACGUUCUCUAUCCUCUAAUUCCAAAAUUCUAUGAAAAUGCAUGCUAUCAUGAGCUAUAUCCAUGCUUUGAUUUAAUCCUUGGGUGCUUAGAUGUAUGUUUGACUUGCUUGGAUAAAAUGCAUGUUGUGUGCUAUAUCUCUAUACUAACUUUGAUGUCUUGUGAUAGCGCUUGAAAAGUCGUUCAGGUACGUACUUCGAUUUUCUCUCAUGGUUUGUUUUCUUAUUAGGCAUGCAAUAUUUGAAAUCACCUAGUCUACUUAGGUAUCCAUGAUCAACCAUUUAAUUGCCACGCUUCCCUUAACUUAGUCAGUAGAGACCUUUUUAGGGCUUAGAGGGGUGCUACCUUCUAGAGGUACCUUCCCAAUAAGUAACCUGAUCCCCAGACUUAGACUCGGGUUUCUCAAAGACAUGCUUUUUCCAAAACUAUGGAGUCACUUUUUAGGGUUUUUCUUUCUUGUUUUAUUUUCCCUUCAAAAUAAAAAUAAAAUAGGUGACGACUCCAACUUUUUUUUUUUCAAAAAUCAAUUUUUCACAAAUAAAAAAGCGAGUCUCGCCGAUCGAGUGGGGGCGCACAUGAAAACUGCGGGUCCACACCCACCAAAACCCAAUUUAUUCCUGCAUGAAUUAAUUCCGUAAAUUCCAUCACUUGGAAUUACAUAAUUUAAUUCACACUUAUUUUUAAAACGUUUUAGAAAUCAUGGAAGUUAUGGAAAUACCUGCCGAAGAAAAUGGCAACAAAAUUUUAUUAAAAAUGUGAUUUUUGGGACUUGAAAGCUCUAAGGAUGAAGAAUCUGGAAAAUAAUGCGAAAAAAAUGAGAUUUGGAAAAAAAUAUUUUUUUAAACCAAGAAUGGUGAAAAUGAGAAAAAGAAAAAAGAAAAAAAAAGGAAGUGACAUGUGGCAUAAGGGUGGCCAUGCUAAGGUGGCCAUGCACCAUUCCAAACAAAUCUAACCCCAUUUGCUUUUAUUUGAUCCUGAUCUUAAUCCCAUAUUUUGGAUGGUUCCUUCUGGUCAUGUGGACCAUGUUCUUAGUGAAAAUAGCAUGCUAUUGGGAUAAAACAUUUUAUAACUUUGACAUGUUCAAGAAUAAAAAAAAAAGUCAAUGAUAGGGAAGGAGGACAAGAUGUGUAGCGACCCCAAGUUUAGAGUAGGUUUGGUCCAUAAGAGGUCAUUAGCAAAGAACAUAUUUUCUUCUUGUACUUUCGAAAGUGUUAUAUUUUGAGUAAUGAGAGUAUUUCUUUUCCUUUUUUCUUUUUCUCUAAUACAUUAUUGGUGAUUAUUCUUCGCCAGAAUACCCACAAGGCUAUUAGAUGUUUCAUUGCAAAUAUGGUUUUAUAUGAUAGAAUUAUGAUUGAACUUAUAAAACAUAUUUUCUACAUAUUGUUUAGCUGGGCAUCCCAACUACCUCUCGGUAAUAUCCUCUUAACAUAGGAAGUAUAAACUAAUAGCAAGUGUUAAUCUUUCCCAUUCUUACACAAGAAAGACCCAAGGAGAAGGUAUAUUGAGAAAUUGCAUAUCUAUGUUCCCAAACAAUAGAAAAUUCAAUAUAUGACACUUCACUCUCUACUUUUCUUUCCUACAUUUUCUCAUAACCCAAAUAUGCUCACCUCUCAUUCUAAGAUCCAACCAUUGAAAAACAAUUACAAAAAUCCUAAUAAAAGAGACAGAUCAUACUACAAUUACACUUUCUUACAAGAAAUUGGAGUGUAGAAGGUAUAACAAUUGAGUGAAACAAAUAAAAACCAACCUCCUUUAACACACCUGCUAAUGAAAUACUUAUAGAGACACUAUAAAUUCCUCCAGACUCCAAAAGAUACUGAUCAACAGCCUCGGCACUUGCAGCGACGAGACCAACACCUGAUAUGAUAUAAUGCACGAACUCGACACAGAAUCGGUAAGACUCAGUUAGAUUACAGAAAAAUUUUCAAACAUUCUUUUUUUCUUUCCAAUCAUAAUAAAACAUCAGAAUAUUUUCAAAAAUAAAAAUAAGAGAUUCCCCUUUCAAAAGCAAACACCCAUGAUUUUGAAAUUGGAGCUUUUAACCCAGAAGAUCAAAGAAGACGAAGAAGAAAAAACCCAAUCCCUGACCUGUUCAGAAAUAAGAGGAGAAACCACCGAAUGAUGAAGACAUAAUUUAGGAUUUACUUACCUGAUUUUCCUAAAAAUCGAGAAUCAUCGGAGGGUGGAGGUUUGGUGUCGGCGGUGGUAACUAGUCAAAUGGACUAAAUCUUACAACGGGGACGUCGGCCAGGCAACCCCUCACAGUUAGAUUGCUCCUCCUCCGGGGUCUUUCAUAGUUGCAAAUUUGCAAUUGCAAGUGGUGUCAUUUGUCUGCGGUCUUGACAGAAAAGGUGGUGUGCAAGGUGUGGGAGAUUGGGAGCCCUAAUUGGUAAAGUAAAAAAUGCAUUUUAUAUGGAUUUACAUUGAUGAUAUGAGAUAGGAUUUGAUGGUAAAUUAUUAAAUUAAAUUAAAUGAUUGAGUCCAAAAUGAUAUGGAUGGUAUGAGAUAGGAUUUAAUGAAAAAUUAAAUGUAUUUAUAUGGCAGAUUGAGAAUUAAAUCCCCAAUUCUUAGUAUUAUUAUAAAUAGCUUUGAGUUAAAUGUGAAAUUUUUUUGUUUUAUUAAUUUUUUAAGCUUAUUUAAUUUCUAUCUUUUUUUUUAUAUAUAAUUUACAUAACAUUUUUAUAAUUUUAUGAAAUUUCUAAUUAUCUUAUUUUGUGUAAUGCUUGAUACCGAAUCGAGAUGUCAAGACCAACAUGUCUCGGGAUCAUCUGAGUCAAUGAUCGAUAUCGCGACUUUGAACCAUACUCGUCUCCAAUCCCUCAACAAUGAUGAAAAAUGAGGCCAACGUAGUUGCCUUUUUUAUUAUUAUCAGUUAAAAAUAAUGAAUCUAUAUCCAUGUAUUAUCAAGAAUAAAUAAGUUUAUAUUUAUAAAUUUUUAUUAUAAAUUUAUAUUUACACAUAUCCUUGAUUUUCCUCAAGGUUUUAUUUUUAAUUGAUUACAAAGCAUUAGUACUUAUUUAAUUUAAAAUGUAUUAAAUAAAUAUUAAUAUUAUAUAAAUAAAUAAAAGUUGAAUUUGAAUAAAAAAUUUAUAUAUAUAUAUAUAUAUAUAUAUAUAUAUAUAUAUAUAUAUAUAUAUAUAUAUAUAUAUAUAUAUAUAUAUAUCAUAUUCUACAUGAAUAUGAAUCUAUUAUUAAAGAUACAUGGUAAUAAGUGUUAAUAUUAUAUAAUCAAAUGAGAGAGUACAAAAAUGUUCUAUUAAUAACAAUACAUUAUUAUAAUAAUAAGAUACUUAAUAUCAUGUAAAUAAAUAAAAGUCGUCAUAAAUUUAAAUUUGAAUUUAUAUUUUAAAACCCAUCACAUUUAUUUUUAUUUUUUUAAAAUUUUAAGAAUUUUUUCUCCACUUCAAAUAGCAAUAAUAGUGUUUAUUCAUACUAAUUAUACUUAAAAUUGAUGAAAAUUAUGAAAAAAGAAAAAGAAGUAAAAACCCAUACCCUUCAAAUUUAUAUUUGUUUUAAUUUUAAAAUUUUUUUCUCUACUUCAAGUAAUAAUAAUAAUAAUGUUUAUUCAUACUAAUAACAAUAAAAUUAAUGAAAAUGAUGAAAAAAAAAAUAGUAAAAACUUCAAAUUUGUAAUAAUAAUAAUAUUUAUUCAUACUAAUAAACAAUUCUUCAUAAUCAUAACCUACUAAUUUCCAACAAUUAUAAUUGAAAUUAUUUUGAAUAAACAAUGUAAUUUGUAUUUGAAGUUGAAAAAAAUUGUGAAAAUUAAAUGGGCAGGGUAGGGCUUUAAUUUUUUUUAUUUUGUUUUAAAUUUUUCCCUCAUAAAUUUAAUUUAAUUUAAUUUUUUUUUUAUGAAUUCUCAGUGAAAUUAUUAUGAAUCAACAAUUUUAUUGACAUUUAAAGUUUUAAAAAAAAAUCUAUGAAUUUUAAAUAAAUUUUGGAAGGUAUUUGUAAUGGGGUAUUUUUAUUUGCACUUUCCUAUUAUGUUGAAACAUUGUUUGGUUUCAACAUUGUUUAUUCAAAAUAAUUUCAAUUAUAAUUAUUGGAAAUUAGGAGGUUAUGAUUAUGAGGAAUUGUUUAUUAGUAUGAAUAAACAUUAUUAUUAUUAUUUGAAGCAGAGAAAAAAUUCAUAAUGCAUAGGGAGACCACAGAUUCUAUGGAUUCAACAAUUGAUAAGCCUACUUGUUUAUGGUAUUGUCCCUAACCAGCUAUUCCAUUUUUGAAUUUACUUUUGGUGCAUUUAGUUUGUAACUUGUCUUAUGUUUUACUUAUUUUCAAUUUUUUUUUAAGGUUUAGAUAGUUUUUUUUUUUUUUUAUUUAGAAAAAAAACCUCUUUUGAGCCAUAACUUGAUUCUCUUGCUAUUCUUAUUUUUAACCAUUUUUUCAAUGAGAAAUUAGGUCUUUUUGGCGGAAUUGUAGGAAGUGGAUUGAAUCGAAAAAUUUAUUUGGGCCAGAUUGUGUUUCACUAGAGUCCUGAGAGAUGCAGCUUAGUGAGCUUAUAAUAAAAAGAUAGGCAUUUAAACGGACCAUACUAGUCUGAGUCAUUCUUAGUUUGGCCUAGUGGGCCUUCAGAAUUGCUCCAACAUGAAUUUCAACGUCAACUUCAAUUUUUAAAAUUAAUAAUUAUACAUUUGUUUUAACUAUUUAUAACAAAUAUUAUCUUUGAAAAGUAAAUUUCAAUUAAUUUUUAUAUUUAAAUAAAAAUUAUUAUUAUUUUAAUUAUUUGUAUCCAAAUCAUACUCAAUAUAUUUGAUUUAUCUUACAAUGUUUCAACAUAAUAGGAAAGUGCAAAUAAAAAUACCCCAUUACAAAUACCUUCCAAAAUUUAUUUAAAAUUCAUAGAUUUUUUUUUUUUUUUUUACUUUAAAUAUCAAAAAAAUUGUUGAUUCAUAAUAAUUUCACUUAGAAUUCAUAAAAAAAUAGGAGGAAAAAAAAUUAAAAUAAAAAAUUUUAAGAUCCCUACCCUUCCCAUUUAAUUUUAACAAUUUUUUUUUUCUGAGCAUUGAUUUGUUGAUCGGUUAUCAAGGGCCACUCAUUUGCUUUGUUGGAUCUAACUCUUUAUAAGCAUGCUCUGUUUUGGCUUCGUUUUUUUUAUCUUUGCUUUCUCUUGUAAAUAUCUGAUGCAUUGUUCCUUCUCUGAACUUGAGAUAUAAAAACCAUGCUCUUGUUCCUUGUGGAUUCCACCUGCUCCUAGCUCUUUGACAAUCCAUGAAAUAGAGCUAAGUUCAUACUCUAUUUUUAUGUUUUUAUUAUUCUUUGUUUGUUGUUGAUGGUGGGAUGAUAUUAUCAAUGGCCAAGUUGCUGGGAUUGGAGGAGUGAGGUUAUGGGGAAGUGAACUUAAUGGAGGAUUUUUGUGAUCAUAUCUAUGCUCCAAUCUAUUGGUUCAAAAUGUUGGCCACGAGACUGCAUUGAAGUUUUGGUAUUUGGCAUCACUUUGCCAUCUGGGUUCAGUAAGCAACACAGUGGCAAUAAAGAUGCAUUGGUGUUAUUAAUUUGGGUGAAUAAGUUGGUUGUAUGAAUUGUGAAAGUUCAAGUUGUGCUUUGAGGAGAGUAUAUCUUGCAUCCUACUAUUUUAAUUAUUAAUUUUGGAUGUUGAAAUAUGAUGUGAUCGCACUUCAUAUGCAUCAUGGUUGUGUGAGGAAAAAAAAAGAUUAAAGAAAUGGUUGUGUGAAAUGGAAAUAAGAAUGAAAAGACCCUGGAUAGGGCAAAAAUGAAAAGAAAAGAAAAGAAAAAAAAAUGAAAUGAUCCUAGAGAGGGCGAAUUAAGAAGGAAGUGAGAUCUCUAAGGUGAAAGACCCAAAAGUUUACUUCGGGAAGACUCCAAAUGGGGAGUAUAUUUAGGUAUAGACGUGUAUCCUUUGGUGAAAGUUUGAGAACCACAAUGCAUUGUGUGAUUGCGUGUAAGCAUUUGCAUCAUAAUUGCAUUUGGAAGAAGGAUUUGUAUUAUUUAUCAAGUGUAUGUUUGAAUAUAUUAUUCAAAACUAAAUGACUUGUUUAUUUUCUAAAUUUAGAAUUGUUGAUAUACUAAACAUAUGAUUGAAUAAGGAAAAUGAUAAUUUUGAUUGUUUUAAAUUUGUAUGGUUGAGGUUUCUUUUAGUGUAUAUAUUGUAAAUGUAAUAUUAUAUCUUGACAUAUGAUUGUGUUAUUGACCUAGAAUUUCUAACCUAUUUGGGUGUAAAACACCCUACUAAGCAACGUGAAAAUACUCACCCCUUUAUUUUCUAAAAUUUUUAGAUGUAGAUAUAGUUUCAGAGGGGCCACAAGAAGUUCAAGAAGCGUUCUAGAAAGCAAAAGAACUAUAAUAAUAGUUGUUUUUAAAUUUAUAUUUCUCCUUUUACAUGUACCAAUUUGAAUUAUAUGGGCUUUUGUAUGUUAAAUUAUAUUUUGUUAGAUUGUAAAACAUUUUUGAAAAUAUUUUUUUUGACUUAGAGAUUAUUGUAAAUAUUUGAGCUUUUGGGCAAAAAGAUGACUGGUGGAUUUAUUAUACUUGUGAAUAAGAGAUAAUGUGAUGGUUGGUUUUAGAAAAAUAAAAUAUUACAGUAAAUCUUAACUUAAUAAAUUUAUUUAAAAUUAGACGUUUUAUUAUUUAAAAAAAAAAAGUUUCAAAGUGUUUUGAUUGAUUGUUAGUGUGGAUAGGAAUAACCCUUAGGGUCAAACCCUUGGGCCGACUAUGUAGGUGAAUACCCAAUUGUACCCACAUGAAUCAGCCGUCAAUCUUACAAAUCCAAGGGCAAAGUAGUCAUUCCAAUUCAAACCAAACCAAGCCAUGAUUCAUGAAAACUGCUGGCCACAGCUCCUGGUUUUUCCCAAACUUUGGGCACCAAAUCCAAACCCAUCUCUUGCUAUAUAACCAACCCACCUUCACCUCAUCUUCUUCAUCACAACACAACUACCUUGAUUUAUAGAGAGAUCUUCUAUAUCCAUUCACUACUCAGAAUCACCUCUUUCUAUUGUUGAUUGUUGUUUGGGUUUCGGAGAAAGAAAAUUAAGAAGAUGAGUCAUAUGGGGAAAGCUUGGUUAGUGGCAGCAAGUGUGGGAGCAGUGGAGGCACUCAAGGAUCAGGGCUUCUGCAGAUGGAACUACACUCUGAGGUCUAUUCACCAGCAUGCCAAGACCAACCUCAGGUCCUUUGCUCAGGCCAAGAAGCUCUCUUCUUCCUCUUCCGCCAUGGUUUCCAGCAGAGUGAGAGAGGAGAAGGCCAAGCAGUCAGAGGAGUCUCUGAGGACUGUCAUGUACUUGAGCUGCUGGGGACCCAACUGAAGAAGAAGAUAUGAAGAUGGAUGAUCAUCAGCCUGCUCUUGAAGCAUCCAGGGAGGGCAUAUUCCAAGAAAGUAACGGAAAAUUGAGAUGAAGAAGCUGCAGUGAAGCAAUUUCAUGGAAUUUUUGCUUGGAGACUCACGAAUUACAACCAAUUGCUCAGGGUUGGGAAAAUUGGAAUUGGUGUAAAUUGUGACUGGGUCUUUGUAAAACCCACAUCAUUUAGCUAGAAAAGCUUUGAAAAUACAUUUUAAUUUAAUUUAUAAUUUCUAUGUUAGAAUAUUAGAUCCAAUUCCUAAAAAGCUUAUCAGCCUUGUAUAUAUGGCUAAGCAGGUCAACUUCCCAAGCUCAAGCGCAUUAAGAAAUUCUCAGACCUACCUUUUUUUUAUAGAAUUUUUGGGAAGUUUUACAGCAAUUGAAAACAAAUCUUAAAAGGGUCGGGAAAUUAUUUGAAAAAAUAUGGCAGAUUUGGUCACAUAGGUGAUAAAGAGGUGAUAAAGUUGGUACAACGCCCAAAAUUAAACUCUCAAUUAAUUUAAUUGAACAAAUAAUCAUAAAAGAGAUUUUUUUAAUUUAUGAUUUUUAUUUUUUUAUUUAUACUUUUUGAAAAAGAAAAUUCCAGUGAAAUAUGUUCGUGUAGACUGUGUGGCAGGAUGCAGACUAAACAAAGAAAUUGACACGUGCUUGAAGUCCGGCCCUACACAUAGCCCCAUUGGAAAACAGCGGUUUCAUCCUCCGUACUCUUUGGGCGUUAAGUGGGUUCACAAACCAAACAAUGGGCUGCCCCAACACAGCAACACUUAGACUGAGGACAAACUAUGUAGGUGAAUACCCAAUUAUACCCACAUGAAUCAGUGGUCAAUCUUUCAAAUCUAAGGACAGAGUAGUCAUUCCAAUUCAAACCAAACAAAGCUAUGAGAACUGCUGGCCACAGCCUCUGGUUUCCCCAAAACUUUGGGCAGUAUUCCUCAAAGAAUCAAGUGGGCUAGAGUUAAUAACUACGUCCACCAUGGUUAGAUUAUUGGGGGCUAGAGUUAAUAACUUCAUCGACCAUGGUUAGAUUAUUGGUAUCUCGAUGGGAGAAGUUGUUUUGAUGGAAAAACAUUGUAUUUUAUUAUUUUGUAAAUUUUAUCAUCACUCAUAUAUAUUAUUUUUUAUUUAAAAUUAAAUAAAAAAUUAAAAUUCUUAGAAAAUACGAAAAGAAAGUAUAUCACAAUCUUUAUUUUCUAUUCUAAAAUUAAAAAAUAAAAAUAAAAUUAUGAAGAAAAAAGUACAUUCCAACUUACAUUAAUUAAGGGAUGAUAUACUGUGUAAAUAAAAAAUAUAAAAAAUAAUUAAAGGUUAAAUAAAUCACUUAAUAAAUCGGUAGUAUGGGUUGAUGGUUUCAUUAUUAGACUAUAACAAGGAUUUUCUUUUUCUUUUUCUUUUUAAAUGCAUUUCAUGGUGGUGUAGAAUUUUUUUGUAUAAGGGUUUUUAAAUUGUAAUAUAGAUUAUACAUAUAGUUGUGUUUUGUCCUAAAUUCUGACUUCCAAGUUUUCAACAUUAUAUAAAAAUUCCUAAAAUCACCUACUUCGUAGGUUUUAUAACAUUAUAUAAAAAGCCAUGAAUUCACCUAUUAGAAAAAUGUUAUUUGGUGCGCUAUCAUUACCAUGACCUCAAUCUCGUGCAAAGAUACCGAGUGGUUACAAAUAGUAAAAAAUAAAUAAUAAAAACAAAAUAUAUUCAUUAUUAUUAUUAUUAUUUUGUUCUUUUAUCAUCCAUUAUUCACAUCUUAGCAUAUGAUAGAAAAGAUGAUAAAAGAUUAUUUAUGUUAUAUGAUUUUAAGUGAAAUGAUCAAAAUAUUUAAAGAAAAAAUUAAUAAUUCAUGAAGAAUUUUUGGUAAAUUUAUAAAUUUGUAAUAAAUAUUGAUAAAUGAUAAACAAAGUAGUUUUUAAAGUGGUUGCAGCAGUUAAACAUUGUAUCUUAUUAUGAUUUUCCACCCUCAAAACUUAAUAAUAAAAUUUCAUAACAAAUUUUUAUCUAUUUGAAACUUUUGAAAUGUGAAAUCUUUUCUUGGACAUUUUUAUAUAUACAUUUGUGAAUUUUAUCUUUAUUUUUUAUUUAUAAAAUUAAAGGAUAAAAUUAAAAUGUUAAAAAUAAAAGAGAAGUAUAUCCCAACUUGCAUCAAUUAAGAGAAGAUAUAUUAAGCAUGUGAAGAAUGCAAAAAAAAUUAAUGAUAAAAUAAAUCACUUAGUAGAUAGUAUUUAAUGAUUUACAUUAUUAGAUUGUAGCAAUGAGUUAUAUUUUUAUUUUUGUGUAUAGGGGAUUUUAAAUUAUAAUAUAUAUUUUUUUAUUUUUGAGUUAGUUUUCUUUGUUGAUACAUAGUUUUUUUUUUGUCUUGGAUAUUGUGUUAUCAACAGUUUUAAAAGAAAUAAAAAUUAUUUAUCCCACAUCGAUUCAAAACUAAAAAUAUUAUAUAUAUUUAUUAAAACUUUGAUACUCUUAAAAAAUACAAGUACAACCAAUAAGCAAGCAUAGGGAUGGCAACGGGGUGGGUAUGGGACAUGCCACCCCUACCCCAUUUCCAUCCCGGUUAUAUAUUUUUUUGCCCAUCCUUGUCCCAAACUCGGGGCGGGGCGAGUUGGUGUCCCCCUUACCUAUUUACAAAAGAACUGAUAAUCUCAUCUCCGUCCCAAAUGUAUUUUCGGGAAUUAUGCUUUUACAAAACAUAGGUCUCUGAAAUUUCAAUAUAUGUUAUAUGGGUUAUCAUAAACACAUUUAAUCAAGCAUUUGUUGUGCAACAAAACUGCAAAUUACACAUAUGAGAACAAAAUGCACAGAUCUACAAAUAAACAACCCAAAAAAUCUCAAAUCCAUAAACCAAAACCAGAAAAUAUGAAAAACAAGACAUUCUAACAAAGCCUCAAAACAUAGUAUUUAAUGAUUUACAUUAUUAGAUUGUAGCAAUGAGUUAUAUUUUUAUUUUUGUGUAUAGGGGAUUUUAAAUUAUAAUAUAUAUUUUUUUAUUUUUGAGUUAGUUUUCUUUGUUGAUACAUAGUUUUUUUUUUGUCUUGGAUAUUGUGUUAUCAACAGUUUUAAAAGAAAUAAAAAUUAUUUAUCCCACAUCGAUUCAAAACUAAAAAUAUUAUAUAUAUUUAUUAAAACUUUGAUACCCUUAAAAAAUACAAGUACAACCAAUAAGCAAGCAUAGGGAUGGCAACGGGGUGGGUAUGGGACAUGCCACCCCUACCCCAUUUCCAUCUCGGUUAUAUAUUUUUUUGCCCAUCCUUGUCCCAAACUCGGGGCAGGGCGAGUUGGUGUCCCCUUUACAUGUUUACAAAAGAACUGAUAAUCUCAUCCCCGUCCCAAAUGUAUUUUCGGGAAUUAUGCUUUUACAGAACAUAGGUCUCUGAAAUUUCAAUAUACGUUAUAUGGGUUAUCAUAAACACAUUUAAUCAAGCAUUUGUUGUGCAACAAAACUGCAAAUUACACAUAUGAGAACAAAAUGCACAGAUCUACAAAUAAACAACCCAAAAAAUCUCAAAUCCAUAAACCAAAACCAGAAAAUAUGAAAAACAAGACAUUCUAACAAAGCCUCAAAACUUAGGGUUUUCUUACCUGGAAAUGAGGAAUCCAUAGAAACCCUAAUAAUUUGUUGUCUACGAAUUUGGUUUUUGGUUUUUAGAGCAAAAAUUGUGCUUUUAGGGUGAAAUGGGAAGAAGCAAUUUAGGAAUAAAUGAGAAAACGGGAAGAAAUGAGAAAAUGAAAGGCCUCUUACAAGCAAAAGAACCCUGAGCAAUUUAGGAAGAAAUGAGAAAACGGGAAGAAAUGAGAGCGAAAGCCCUCUAAUUCUCUCACGAGCGAAAUAACCCUAAAACUUGAGGAAGAAAUGAUUAUAUACGGAGAACUUUUUGGGUAUUUUGUAAUGAUAUAAGGGUAAAUUGGUAAUUCACAUACGGGACGGGGUAGAAACUGCAAAACCCAUCCCUGCCUUAAACCCGAUUCGGGUUUUUAUAUAUUCCCCAAACCCGUUUUAUACCCGAAUAGAAUAUUCUCAUACCCGUCCCAAUAGGGAUGGGGCGGGUGACCCGGAUUACCCAGAAAAUUGUAGUUCCUAAGCAAGCAUUGAGCUAAAUCCUAAUCUCACAUUCCUGCUCGAAACUUUACACUCACAUAAAAACAACUCACCACUUGACUCGAUGGACUAUUCCGUAACUUCUCACUACCAACAACCAGGCACUAUUCAACCUCUCGCUCACUUAUAAAUUCACUCCCUACCUGCAUAUUCAAAACAUAUCUUACUACUAUUCUACUCUACUAUUCUACUUUUCGUGGUUUCAUAUCUCACUAUUAUUCUACUUUUCGCGGUUUCAUAUCUCACUACUAUUCGCGUGUUCAAAGUGUGCAUAUUCAAAGUGUAUCCCUCCUUGAAUUAAUUGUGAAUUAAUUUAGGCUUCAAAGUGUGUUGCUCUACAACAUCCCUCCUAGUCAGGCCUCAAAGUAAGAACAACAACAUCUACAAUAUCUGCCAUGGCCACACAACCAAGGCAUGUGGUAUGCCUCAUUUUCUCAUGUCCUUUUCCCAUUUUGUUCCCUCUUUUCAUCUCCAUUUUGUUUUCAAUAUUCCCUUACCUUACUCAUAUUCUCUAAAAUUAGAUAAAAUUAUUAAUUUGAUCAUAUUUAUCUAACAUUUUUAAUUAGUACUACUAGUAUCUUAUUUUCAUAAAUCUAAUUGAAUUUCCUACUUAUUUAUUUAUUGUUUUCAUGACAAAAAUUCAUCAGCUUUCAUAUCUUUCCUUACAAUUCUGAGUUCAACUGUCCUUGCGAAAUACCAAUAUGAGAAUGUUUCCCCAUUUGCCCAACACAACAUAGGUAUGCAAAUCUCCUUAUUUGCAUCAUUUAUAUAUUUCAUGAUGGUUGUGGCUUAUGAAAUCCUUGAUUCUAAUGGAACUAUCAAAAUUGAAGAAGAUGGAAGAUAUCUCCUUAUUUUGGGUCAUGUUUAGUUCUUAAGUGGAACAGCAGCUGCAACUUUGUUGAUCCUGAUCUUGAUCCCAUAUUUUGGAUGGUUCUUUCUGAUCAUGUGGACCAUGUUCUUAGUGAAAAUAGCAUGCUAUUGGGAUAAAACAUUUUAUAACUUUGACAUGUUCAAGAAUAAAAAAAAAUGCCAAUGAUAAGGAAUGAGGACAAGAGGAGCAACGACCCCAAGUUUAGAGUAGGUUUGGUCUAUAAGAGGUUAUUAGCAAAAAACAUAUUUUCUUCUUGUACUUUUGAAAGUGUUAUAUAAGUGUCAUAUUUUGAGUAAUGAGAGUAUUUUUUUUUCCUUUUUUCUUUUUCUCUAAUACAUUAUUGUUGAUUAUUCUUCGCUGGAAUACCCACAAGGCUAUUAGAUGUUUCAUUGCAAAUAUGGUUUUAUAUGAUAGCAUUACGAUUGAACUUAUAAAACAUAUUUUCUACAUAUUGUUUAGCUGGGCCUCCCAACUACCUCUCGGUAAUAUCCUCUUAACAUAGGAAGUAUAAACUAAUAGCAAGUGCUAAUCUUUCCCAUUCUUACACAAGAAAGACCCAAGGAGAAGGUAUAUUUAGAAAUUGCAUAUCUAUGUUCCCAAACAAUAGAAAAUUCAAUAUAUGGCACUUCACUCUCUACUUUUCUUUCCCACAUUUUCUCAUAACCCAAAUAUGCUCACCUCUCAUUCUAAGAUCCAACCAUUGAAAAACAAUUACAAAAAUCCUAAUAAAAGAGAUAGAUCAUACUACAAUUACACUUUCUUACAAGAAAUUGAAGUGUAGAAGGUAUAACAAUUGAGUGAAACAAAUAAAAACCAACCUCCUUUAACACACCUGCUAAUGAAAUACUUGUAGAGACACUAUAAAUCCCUCCAGACUCCAAAAGAUACUGAUCAACAGCCUCGGCACUUGCAGCGACGAGACCAAUCCUUGGUACGAUAUAAUGCACGAACUCGACACGGAAUCGGUAAGACUCAGUUAGAUUACAGAAAAAUUUUCAAACAUUCUUUUUUUCUUUCCAAUCAUAAUAAAACAUUAGAAUAUUUUCCAAAAGCAAACACCCAUGAUUUUGAAAUUGGAGCUUUUAAACCAGAAGAUCAAAGAAGACGAAGAAGAAAAAACCCAACCCCUGACCCGUUCAGAAAUAAGAGGAGAAACCACCGAAUGAUGAAGGCAUGAUUUAGGAUUUACUUACUUGAUUUUCCUAAAAAUCGAGAAUCACCAGAGGGUGGAGGUUUGGUGUCGGCGGUGGUAACUUGUCAAGUGGACUAAAUCUUGCAACGAGGACGUCAGCCAGGCAACCCUCACAGUCAGAUUGCUCCCCCUCCGGGGUCUUUCAUAGUUGUAAAUUUGCAAUUGCAAGUGGUGUCAUUUGUCGGCGGUCUUGACAGCAAAGGUGGUAUGCAAGGUGUGGGAGAUUGGGAGCCCUAAUUGGUAAAGUAAAAAAUGCAUUUUAUAUGGAUUUACAUUGAUGAUAUGAGAUAGGAUUUGAUGGUAACUUAUUAAAUUAAAUUAAAUGAUUGAGUCUAAAAUGAUAUGGAUGGUAUGAGAUAGGAUUUAAUGAAAAAUUAAAUGUAUUUAUAUGGCAGAUUGAGAAUUAAAUCUCCAAUUCUUAGUAUUAUUAUAAAUAGCUUUGAGUUAAAUGUGAAAUUUUUUUGUUUUAUUAAUUUUUUAAGCUUAUUUAAUUUCUAUCUAUUUUUUUUAUAUAAUUUACAUAACAUUUUUAUAAUUUUAUGAAAUUUCUAAUUAUCUUAUUUUGCGUAAUGCUUGAUACUGAAUCGAGAUGUCAAGACCAACAUGUCUCGGGAUCAUCUGAGUCAAUGAUCGAUAUCGCGACUUUGAACCAUACUCGUCUCCAAUCCCUCAACAAUGAUGAAAAAUGAGGCCAACGUAGUUGCCUUUUUUAUUAUUAUCAGUUAAAAAUAAUGAAUCUAAAUUCAUGUAUUAUCAAGAAUAAAUAAGUUUAUAUUUAUAAAUUUUUAUUAUAAAUUUAUAUUUACACAUAUCCUUGAUUUUCCUCAAGGUUUUAUUUUUAAUUGAUUACAAAGCAUUAGUACUUAUUUAAUUUAAAAUGUAUUAAAUAAAUAUUAAUAUUAUAUAAAUAAAUAAAAGUUGAAUUUGAAUAAAAAAUUUAUAUAUAUAUAUCAUAUUCUUCAUGAAUAUGAAUCUAUUAUUAAAGAUACAUGGUAAUAAGUGUUAAUAUUAUAUAAUCAAAUGAGAGAGUACAAAAAUGUUCUAUUAUUAGCAAUACAUUAUUAUAAUAAUAAGAUACUUAAUAUAAUGUAAAUAAAUAAAAGUCGUCAUAAAUUUAAAUUUGAAUUUAUAUUUUAAAACCCAUCACAUUUAUUUUUAUUUUUUUAAAAUUUUAAGAAUUUUUUCUCCACUUCAAAUAGCAAUAAUAGUGUUUAUUCAUACUAAUUAUACUUAAAAUUGAUGAAAAUUAUGAAAAAAAAAACCCAUACCCUUCAAAUUUAUAUUUGUUUUAAUUUUAAAUUUUUUUUCUCUACUUCAAGUAAUAAUAAUAAUAAUGUUUAUUCAUACUAAUAACAAUAAAAUUAAUGAAAAUGAUGAAAAAUAAAAAAUUGUUUGGUUUCAACAUUGUUUAUUCAAAAUAAUUUUUUUUAUUUGCACUUUCCUACUAGGCCAAACUAAGAAUGACUCAGACCAGUAUGGUCCGUUUAAAUGCCUAUCUUUUUAUUAUAAGCUCACUAAGCUGCAUCUCUCAAGACUCUAGUGAAACACAAUCUGGCCCAAAUAAAUUUUCCGAUUCAAUCCACUUCCUACAAUUCCGCCAAAAAGACCUAAUUUCUCAUUGAAAAAAUGGUUAAAAAUAAGAAUAGCAAGAGAAUCAAGUUAUGGCUCAAAAAAGGUUUUUUUUUUUUCUUAAAAAAAAAAAAAAAAACUAUCUAAACCUUAAAAAAAUUGAAAAUAAGUAAAACAUAAGAUAAGUUACAAACUAAAUGCACCAAAAGUAAAUUCAAAAAUGGAAUAGCUGGUUAGGGACAAUACUAUAAACAAGUAGGCUUAUCAAUUGUUGAAUCCAUAGAAUCUGUGGUCUCCCUAUGCAUUAUGAAUUUUUUCUUUGCUUCAAAUAAUAAUAAUAAUAAUAAUAAUAAUGUUUAUUCAUACUAAUAAACAAUUCUUCAUAAUCAUAACCUCCUAAUUUCCAAUAAUUAUAAUUGAAAUUAUUUUAAAUAAACAAUGUUGAAACCAAACAAUGUUUCAACAUAAUAGGAAAGUGCAAAUAAAAAUACCCCAUUACAAAUACCUUCCAAAAUUUAUUUAAAAUUCAUAGAUUUUUUUUUUUACUUUAAAUAUCAAAAAAAUUAUUGAUUCAUAAUAAUUUCACUUAGAAUUCAUAAAAAAAUAUGAGGAAAAAAAAUUAAAAUAAAAAAUUUUAAGAUCCCUACCCUUCCCAUUUAAUUUUAACAAUUUUUUUCUGAGCAUUGAUUUGUUGAUCGGUUAUCAAGGGCCACUCAUUUGCUUUGUUGGAUCUAACUCUCUAUAAGCAUGCUUUGUUUUGGCUUCGUUUUUUUUAUCUUUGCUUUCUCUUGUAAAUAUCUGAUGCAUUGUUCCCUCUUUGAACUUGAGAUAUAAAAACCAUGCUCUUGUUCCUUGUGGAUUCCACCUGCUCCUAGCUCUUUGAUAAUCCAUGAAAUAGAGCUAAGUUCAUACUCUAUUUUUAUGUUUUUAUUAUUCUUUGUUUGUUGUUGAUGGUGGGAUGAUAUUAUCAAUGGCCAAGUUGCUGGGAUUGGAGGAGUGAGGUUAUGGGGAAGUGAACUUAAUGGAGGAUUUCUGUGAUCAUAUCUAUGCUCCAAUCUAUUGGUUCCAAAUGUUGGUCACGAGACUGCAUUGAAGUUUUGGUAUUUGGGAUCACUUUGCCAUCUGGGUUUAGUAAGCAACACAGUGGCAAUAAAGAUGCAUUGGUGUUAUUAAUUUGGGUGAAUAAGUUGGUUGUAUGAAUUGUGAAAGUUCAGGUUGUGCUUUGAGGAGAGUAUAUCUUGCAUCCUACUAUUUUAAUUAUUAAUUUUGGAUGUUGAAAUAUGAUGUGAUUGCACUUCAUAUGCAUCAUGGUUGUGUGAGGAAAAAGAAAUAUUAAAGAAAUGGUUGUGUGAAAUGGAAAUAAGAAUGAAAAGACCCUGGAUAGGGCAAAAAUGAAAAGAAAAGAAAAAAAAAAUGAAAUGAUCCUAGAGAGGGCGAAUUAAGAAGGAAGUGAGAUCUCUAAGCUGAAAGACCCAAAAGUUUACUUCGAGAAGACUCCGAAUGGGGAGUAUAUUUAGGUAUAGACGUGUAUCCUUUGGUGAAAGCUUGAGAACCACAGUGCAUUGUGUGAUUGCGUGUAACCAUUUGCAUCAUAAUUGUAUUUGGAAGAAGGAUUUGUAUUAUUUAUCAAGUGUAUGUUUGAAUAUAUUAUUCAAAACUAAAAUGACUUGUUUAUUUUGUAAAUUUAGAAUUGUUGAUAUACUAAACAUAUGAUUGAAUAAGGAAAAUGAUAAUUUUGAUUGUUUUAAAUUUGUAUGGUUGGGGUUUCUUUUAGUGUAUAUAUUGUAAAUGUAAUAUUAUAUCUUGACAUAUGGUUGUGUUAUUGACUUAGAAUUUCUAACCUAUUUGGGUGUAAAACACCCUACUAAGCAACGUGAAAAUGCUCACCCCUUUAUUUUCUAAAAUUUUUAGAUGCAGAUAUAGUUUCAGAGGGGCCGCAAGAAGUUCAAGAAGCGUUCUAGAAAGCAAAAGAACUAUAAUAAUAGUUGUUUUUAAAUUUAUAUUUAUCCUUUUACAUGUACCAAUUUGAAUUAUAUGGGCUUUUGUAUGUUAAAUUAUAUUUUGUUAGAUUGUAAAACAUUUUUGGAAAUAUUUUUUUUGACUUAGAGAUUAUUAUAAAUAUUUGAGCUUUUGGACAGAAAGAUGACUGGUGGAUUUAUUAUACUUGUGAAUAAGAGAUAGUGUGAUGGUUGGUUUUAGAAAAAUAAAAUAUUAUAAUAAAUCUUAACUUAAUAAAUUUAUUUAAGAUUAGACGUUUUAUUAUUUAAAAAAAAAAAGUUUCAGAGUUUUUUGAUUGAUUGUCAGUGUGGAUAGGAGUAAUCCUUAGGGUCAAACCCUUGGCCGACUAUGUAGGUGAAUACCCAAUUAUACCCACAUGAAUCAGCCGUCAAUCUUACAAAUCCAAGGGCAAAGUAGUCAUUCCAAUUCAAACAAAACCAAGCCAUGAUUCAUGAAAACUGCUGGCCACAGCUCCUGGUUUUUCCCAAACUUUGGGCACCAAAUCCAAACCCAUCUCUUGCUAUAUAACCAACCCACCUUCACCUCAUCUUCUUCAUCACAACACAACUACCCUGAUUUACAGAGAGAUUUUCUAUAUCCAUUCACUACUCAGAAUCACCUCUUUCUAUUGUUGAUUGUUGUUUGGGUUUCGGAGAAAGAAAAUUAAGAAGAUGAGUCAUGUGGGGAAAGCUUGGUUAGUGGCAGCAAGUGUGGGAGCAGUGGAGGCACUCAAGGAUCAGGGCUUCUGCAGAUGGAACUACACUCUGAGGUCUAUUCACCAGCAUGCCAAGACCAACCUCAGGUCCUUUGCUCAGGCCAAGAAGCUCUCUUCUUCCUCUUCCGCCAUGGUUUCCAGCAGAGUGAGAGAGGAGAAGGCCAAGCAGUCAGAGGAGUCUCUGAGGACUGUCAUGUACUUGAGCUGCUGGGGACCCAACUGAAGAAGAAGAUAUGAAGAUGGAUGAUCAUCAGCCUGCUCUUGAAGCAUCCAGGGAGGGCAUAUUCCAAGAAAGUAACGGAAAAUUGAGAU